AAGAAAAAAGAGAAGUACCGGCAACAGGCAUUGGAAGAGCAGCAUUUGGUGGUAUUCCGGCAAGCUGAGCCAGGCCAUAAGAGAGAUAGCUUGAAGUAAUCAAACUCUCUCUGGUGUCCGGUUUGCCUUCGUAGCAAUCCUUCUUCCACAUCCCAACUACUGUUGAUUCGGAUAACGGAAAAGGCUCCGAUGAGCAAAGGUAGCAAUUGCAUACAGAAAAUCGCUUUGAUUGUAAGGGAAGCCAUUGCUCUGGACACUUAUUAUCUGUAAAAACUUCCAAGUUCUCUCUUUUUUCUAGUACGGAGAAGAUACAGUCUCCGAGAUUGCCCGCUUCGAAGAUCAGCGGCGGAAGACGGCGGAGUUGGGAUCGUUCACGGAGGAAGAUAAUUUCGCGGUUAAAUUCUAGAUUCUUUCGUACUAUGCAUCUUUCUAAGUUAUUGUUUAAUUAAUUAAACUGAUAAUUAUAGUAUACUAAUCCAGGUUUAUAGUAAAAUAAACCUUCCGUUCUUUUUUACUUAUUCCGAUCGUAUUUGGCACCACCCAUUAAAAAUAAUGAUUGACAUUACUAUUUAUCACACUCCUAUAAUAAAUUCAUGUUUAGAUUAAUUUUUGAGAAAUGAUUUGAAAAUGAGUAAUUAAUGUUAAUGAUAAAACAUGUAAGAAAAAUAAUAAUAGUCCUGAAACGUUGAAAGUAACAAGUGAAAGCAAAAAUUUAUUUUAAAAAUAACGGACAACUAUUGGAGUAAAAGUAAACGAAGGAACUAAGAAGUGAUUAUUGUAAAGAGGAACUUUCGCUAAUAGCCACUAUAAUAAACUUAAUUAUGUUCUAUAGCUAUAAUUUGCAUAUUUAUGGGCUGUAGCUAUAAUUUAAGCUAUCUCGUUUGUAUAAUUCGCAAAUUUAUAUAAAUUCGCAGGUUUGUAUAUUUCGCGGGUACAUUUAUAUGAUUCAGAUAUUUUUGUAUAAACUUGAAAUAACUAAUUUAUACAAUUACAAACAUCAGAAGUGUAAACAGUUAUACAAAAUAUAUUAUACAAAUUAUGAUCUAUACAAAAGUUAUACAAAUUAUAUUAUACAAAAUCCGAAUUAUACAAACUUGCGAAUUAUACAAAACUAAAAAGCUGAGUUGCGUAAUUAUGACUAAAAGUAGGCCGCGAAUUGUAAUUAAGGCAAACUAUAGCUAUGCUAUCUAAUUAACAAGUAUAUAUUUAUUUAUACGUGUAAUUUUCCCUUCAAAAAUUUAGAUUCAAAGUCUCUGCUUGCCUUAAACAUCUAUUGUAUAUGUACAAAUUAGGAGUAACUUAGAAUAGGGAUAAGGGUCUGGAAAAUACCUCAAUUUUGGUCGAAUUUGUUGUUGCGAUACUAAACUAUUUUAAAUAGUGUCUGAAUUAAGAUGAGUAAUUUUACGUAAUUGAUGUGUUAGAGACUUAGAGCUAAACACUCUUAAAAUGUCGCCAAUCUACUAAUCUUGCAUGAUUGGAUCAACAGUUUAUCUGUCUAUGUAUUUGAAUUAUAGAAUCAACCGUUGAUGCUUAAGAUAGAUGGCUUGCGUAAUAUUAUUGGGCGUGGUCCUUUCAACAUUCUUUUUAAUGGAGAAUCUUGAUACAAUAAUAAAGUUUAUGUUUGUGUGACUAACAUGCCACUUGCUGGAAUUAAUUGUCUAGUCUUUACUAAGGGUUGUAUACAAAUUUAUGAGAUCUAUGUCGUUUUUUGGAAUCAAAUGAAGGUCAAAGGACCAUUUGAUUGAUUAAGGGACAUAACGACAUCUUCGCUUGAUGCUAUUUUUAGAUGUAGCAGUAAACGAGUGGGUCGUGCCUGAUUUCAGACCAAACCAGACUCUUAUUUGUGUGAGUUACUUUCGGACACGUAUAUUGAAGAUCUCAUUUGUCUUUGAUUAGGGAUUUUCGUUAGAUUAUAAAUGAAGUCUUAUUCGAUCUUUUCUAUGAUUAUAAUUUAUAUGAGAGAGGAGAGAGGAAAUUGAUUAUUUAAAUCGUAUCUAAAUUAAGAGAAAGUAAUUUUUAUGUAAUUUAUAAUUAAAAAUUUGAAUCAUAAAAUUAAAUAUUCAAAAUACUUUUAGAGUAUGGUCAAUUUGCAAAAUUUGCAUAAUCUGAAGCAACUAUUUAUUUAUUUAUACUUCAAAUUUUAGUUAUGAAGUAGUCUUUGGCGUUUAAAAUAGAUUGCUUACGUAACAAUCCUUGAAUGACAUUAUUUAGUUAUACUGGUUGCUACCAAUAACCAAUGCCAUUUUUCAUACUUUUUGUUAACUUAUGUAAAAUCACAUUAUAUAUUUUUAGUAUUCUCACAUUAUUUAAAAAAUAUGUAUAUUAGUGGAUUUUUUGAGUCACAGCUUUUAAAAAAAACAUAUUAGUGGAUUUUAUUUGAAGCAAAAAAUAAAAUAAUUUGAGUCGAAAUUACAAUAAACUCCUUCAGAAACCAGGUCAGACGGGCAAUUAUUGUCAACAUGACACAAAUAGGAAACAGAGUCGCGACAUCGCCAGUAAAAUAAAUAUAAAUAUUACGAUGUCGCAAUAAUAAUAAUAAUAAUACGCCGUAAUUGGUGCCAAUAUUUUUUCAACCCUGCGAAAUUGCAAAAUUAGGGUUUCUCUUGGUUCAAUUAUACGAAGCUUACGGUGAAUUUGCAAACCCUAAGCCCUCAAUUUCGAUUAUUUUGCUUCAGGAGAACCGUCAAUUGGAGAACAAACGAGCUUCGUUCUUCAAUUGGAUUGGAUAUCCCUCAGUUUGAUCGAGUAAGCUCUUUUUCGUAGUUGGAGAUUUGAAUUCUCUAUGUACUGAUGUUAGAUUGUGAAAGGGAUAGUCUUUAUCAUCAAAGAUCAAUGUGUUUCUUCAUUGAUAUGCGGAUGUGUGAAAUUAUGAAAAUUUGAAACUCAAAUUGUAAUGGAAUCAACUUUUAAUAAGUUUUUUUUUUCUCUAUUGCAAGUUGAGGUACUCCAACAGAAAGAGGUAAGUUGAGCUAAGUGUAGUUCUCUCCUCUUUCUGUUGGAGCAGUAAGUUAAGUUUUUUUUUUCUUUUUCAUUUUUAUUGUUCAGUCUUGUCAAGGAUCAAAGUGUUAAUUUGAGUUGCAUUCGUUGAGUAAAUUAUUGAAAAAAACUAAUCUUUAGGUUGAAAAAACUGGUUUGAGUUGCAUUUGUCAAGUAACUGUUGGGAAAAAACCAAUCUUUAGGCUGAAAAAACUGUUUGAGUUGCAUUUGUGAAGUAACUGUUUGAAAAAACUAAUCUUUAGGCUGAUUAUACACAAUUUAGUGAGAGGUUGGACUUAGUGCAGUAGAUAACACUGGCCGUCAUUAUAGACAAUUUCUUGGGACACUAUGCACUCUAAAUAACAUACACUCCAUUGUACACGGGAGACACUAUUCUUAGGACCAAUCUGAGUCCUUGUUCUUUUUCCUUAAUAUUUACUUCAAUUUUCUUUUUGUUGUAUCUAUGCUUGAUCAAAUAAGACCUCCCUAUCCACUUGAGAGUAGAGGUAUAGAAAUUGCAUAUGAAUGAUCUCUCUUCCAGCUCAUAUAUAAGUUUUCUCCUUAGUUGUACAGAUAAAAGCUGUUUUUCUUUCUGUUAGUGUCGCUUUUAGCCCCCUUUAUCUUUACUCUUGGUAUUCUGCUUUGAACAUAGGCGGUAGUAGCCCCUGCCAAAUCCAUGGCAUUAAGGCAGUAUUUAUUUGAAAAUGAUACUGACAAGGUUUAUGAGCUCUUUCAUUUUGCACUACGGUUGUAUUAUGGUUACAUUCUCCCAAUUGUCCUCCUCCAAUGCCAUUUUGUUUGCAUUCUAGUCAUAUGAGUAGAUUGACCUUUGCUGCACUAGAUAUUUCUGGAUUGUCUUACCUACUGAUACUUUCCAGGAAAUAAUGCUCUACUUAUAUACUUGGUGCUGAUUGAUGGAUCCAGAUAGCAAGAAUUUUGGAAGAGGUAAGACUUUUACAUGUUUACCUUUCCCCUCAAAAAAUAAAAAUAGGGACAUACAGUCUCCUUGCUUGUUACACAUGUUGACUACUGCAUGUCUUUUUUUUUUUUGAAACUGGUAAAUGUGGUUGACUACUGCAUGCCUACUCAUGUGAUUAGUAUGCAAUUGAUGAAUAAUGCUUGUUAUUGCAUCCCUAGGCUUAGAAUCAAGGUGAAUGUGAGACAUUGAUUGAUAUUCUUGCUCAGACUGCUAAUGGCGAAUUUAUUUGCUGCUGAAAUUUUGUUUUAUAGUCCUAUUGCUCUUGCUCUUACUUGCAGGAAAUAAAGUUAUUGUUUUAUUGCCAACCCAUUUAUGCCGACUUCUUCUGCUUACAAAGAUACCAAUGGCAUGACCAGAAAUUUUAUGAAGGGUGGUCAAGCUAUAAGUAAAUCUUUUUGGAAAAUGGACGCACCAUCAUAUUUAAUUUAAUAUGAAGUGAACUGAUAGAGCAAAAAGAAAAAGGAGAGAGAGAAUAGAGUUCAAUCUAGAAAGAAAUCACUUUCAAGUUUUUAAGAUUUUAAGCCAUAGGUUACUGAGAGACCCGCGGAAUGUGGAAGAGCUUAUAGCUAAGCUUCUGAAAACCAAAAAAUAAAGAAGAAGAGAAACACUCGGCAUUAGUUAAGUUUCUUAAGGUGUUAAAUGAACAUAAUUUGGAUAGCAGAGGAAUUCGUAGUGGCAAAUGAAUAUAGAGGUGUUGUGGCAGGCUUACCAUUUUAUCACCAACUGACUGCAGAUUGCAUCUGUGGCUUUUACCAUUUUUUGUAUUGCAUAUUCCUUCACAAAUAUAGUUUUGUUUGUAAAAUUCCUUAGAUCAAUAUCUUGAUAUUUUGUUAUUGACUAAAUAACUGUCAAUUUUGUUCUCCUCUUUAGAAUGUGUUCAUGUUUGAUAAAGAUAUACUCAUAUACAUAGUUUAUAACUGUUGUUGAUUUGGUCCAAAUAUAUUGUUAGGGCCAAGAGAACUCACAGGUGCUCGUGAUCUUAUUAGUCACUUCAAAUUGUUGCCUCAUUAUGAGUUCUUUGGUAAGAGGUCGCUUCCAUUAUCAAUUUCCGAUACACAUUAUCUUCAUAAUGUGGUUGGAGACACAGAAAUUAGGAAAGGUGAGAAGAUGCAGUUGGAUCAGCUCACACAGGAUACUUCCUUUUCAAGAGAGACAAGUUCAUGUAUCCGGCCGUUUGACUUAGAUGUCCUUAGAGAAGCCUUCCAACUACGUGAAACGGCUCCAGUCAAUUUGUCUCCUGUAAGAUAGCUGCUUUUGAAUUUGGAUGAUUUAACUCCAUUUGUUCACCUGCUUCUAAGCAACACUCUUAUCCUUUAUGAUUUCUGAAGUUGGAGCUUUUGAAUUGGGUUUCCUCAUAUUAUGUGCUGAAACAUAAAAUGGUUUUUCCUGUUAUCAUAGUUGCUGAUCAGUCGGUCUUUUCAUGGUGUUUGAUAGUCUGACAAAGGCACCCCCACUAUAGCUGGAAAAUCUAAGAGCGAGAUGAAAGACAAGGAGAAGAAGGAGAAGAAGCAUAAAAAACACAAGGAUAAAGACAAGGAGAAGGACAAAGAGCAUAAGAAGCACAAACAUCGUCAUAAAGAUCGGAGUAAAGACAAGGACAAAGAGAAAAAGAAAGAUAAAAGUGGCCACAAUGAUCCUGGUGCUGAGCAUUCAAAGAAACAUGAAAAGGUCUGCUGUCAUCUAAACUCAAAUGAUUUUGUUUCAAAAAUGAUGAUUCUCAUGGUAUGUUGUUACUUUGAAUAUAGUCCUAGGUUCAUGUUCAGAAGUUUAGAAGAUGGUUCAACAUUAUCUUAACUAAAUAGAAUCUUUUAAAGUGGAUGAAACUACAAAUUUCACAACAGGUCUCAGUACCAUCGUGCUGACUGUUGCACUUGCUUUCCUGAAUUUGUACUUUAUAAUUUAAUCCAUUUGUACAUUAUCCUUUUUUGUUACAAGUUGCCUCUGUACGAUCAAGUGGGAACAAUAUUGAGAUUAAUUAAGGUUCAGCUUCCUAGGCAUCGAACAUGAGGUCUUUGAAAUGAACUGCCACUUGACUUUUUAAGUUAUUGAGGUGAAAAGUUGUUGAGUCCGGCCCUAUUCGGUUUAGUUUAGUGAUACAUAUAUUUUAAGUUGGUAAAAUUCUGAUCCACUCCUUUACUCUAAGAAUAACCUCAUGUUUGAAUUUUGUGUAAUCUACUUAAUGCGGUGUUGACUUUAUAGUUUUCCUCUCUGAUAGUUUGAUACUUCCUUUUUUGUUUUAAGUUCUUUCCGGGUGGGACCUAUUAAAAAAAGUUCUUGCCAGGUGGUACUUAACUAUUGAGUUGCUUUGUGGAAAAUUCACCCUUGCUGACUUCGACCCUGAUUUGCAACAUCUUGGAAUUUGGCAAUCAAAAAGUCAUACUUCAUGGUAAUAAAAGGGAUAAAAGAACUCAUUGAUUUUGAUCGUUUUUCUUAAACUGAUUUCAGAAAAGGAAGCACGACGAGGAGGAUCUCAACGGUAUCCACAAACACAAGAAAAGCAAGGUAACUAAAAAAUGUUGGAUUCAUAUAAUAUUUUUCUUUACUAUAUUUUGAACCUUCUUUGUUGAGGAAAAUUAUAUAUUUGCAAACGUUAGUUUUGUGAUAUAAAUUUAUUGUACGCAAUCUAAUCCCUACACUUAGUAUACAUUCACCUUUUACUAAUUGUCCCUUCAUCUUACCUGCUAAAAUGUUGCAGCACAGGAGCUCAAAGAUUGAUGAGAUUGGUUCAAUAAAGGUAGCCGGCUGAAUUGUGCGUGUGGUUGUAUAAUUUAUGUUGUCCCAGAUUUUGCAGUUGAGAAUUUGGAGGGUUCCUUUAGUUAGAAUUGUGAAAUAUCAGAAGUUCAUGUCCUGAUCAAUUCAUUAAUUGAAGAACUUUAUGGCAUGCGCCGGUGUUGACAUCUGUAUCUUUAUUUGAGCAAGACUAUUCCUUGGAAGACAUUACUGGUCAGAUGCAUCAAACUUUUUUGCGUAUUCAUGAGUGCAAUCUGGCGUUUUGAUUUAUAUACUUCAAUUUUCCCCCUUUUCUAAAUAACCACCUUGAAAAAGUAGGCAUGCAUCUAGUCUGGCCUCUACAGUGAUAAAGGAGGCAUCUGCAUGUCUGACAAAAUGUUUUCCUGCCUGUUUUGGAUAUCAAAUAAAAAAUUUCUCCUCAUGGAAGUCAGGUGGAACUAUCUUAUACUUCUUUGUCCUUUUUAUCUAUCGUUUAAAGUUUUGGCACACGCAUUGAGAAAACCAUUUGCUAUCUUUAACAUAAAGAUAAGGGGUAUUUGACUAAGUUACCCGUAGUUCUUAAAUGAUUAGUUAUUGACUAUAUCCGCCCUCUUAGAGUAGUAAAGGUGGAAUUGGAAAAAGGAAUUAACCGUUUCUUGGUUUCUGAAAUGAUAAUAUUUUAGAACAAAUUUUUUUAUUAAAGUGAUAGAUACAAAAGUUCACAAAAGAAUAAGGAACAAGAAAGCAUAUCUUAGAAAAUUUUGAACAUUCAUGAAAAAGUUUGCUGUUAGAGAUUCAAUUUCAUCUUGCAAAGAGAUGGAGGAAAAAUGUGUUAUUGGUGCAUGGGUGCAGCCUCAAACUCGUUAUGGUAAGGUGGAUAUGUGAUCAUGGAAGUGUCUGAGAUGCACUGUCCUUGAGCAUAAAAGAUGUAAACUUUUGUCUAUGCUGUCCUGAAUGUGCUGGUGGAGAUAUAAGGUGAAACUGGUCAAGGCUAGUUGGAAAAGGAUGGAAGUUUCUAAACCUUACUGGAGUACUGCUUACAUCAAUAAAGAAAAGCAACAGAAGUAAUCAAAUGAUAUGCCAAACUCCAAGGUAUUUUUGUAUCUUCUAUUUAUUUAUUAUUAUUUUGGCUCAUUGGAAUCAAAUAAUAAUCAUGUAUACUUCUUUUGGGAUGAUUUUUUGUCUCCAGUCUACAUAUGUAUGUGUGUGCAUAUUACUAAACAUUCUCAGUUGUGUGUCGUUGAGAAUUGAUCCCCUGAUCAAGAUGUCAUCAAGCAAGUAAAUGAACUGGACCAACUGAGCAAGCAUAUCUUUUUUGCAAGUAACUGAGUAUCUCAUUGAAGGAGGACCCUCUCCAACUUAGAUGAUGAAUAUGAGUUGGAACUUGGAAAUUUGGCUACUUUAAAAUGGAUUUAUGUGCAAGUCUCAUGCACAGAAAGGAAGUUGUAACAAGUUCCCUGUCCCCCCUGGUGUUUCAGCAACUUUGCUAUUGGGAUAAUGGUGGAAAAAUUUACUGAAUAGCCGGUGGAAUUAUGAGAAAGAGAAAUUGUAAGGUUUAUAUAUGUGUGUGUAGAAAGGCAAAAAAGGACAUGUUUGACGAGUAUGCAAUAGUUGAAUUUAGAACAACUUGCAGUGGAUGAAAGAUAAAACUUUUAUUCAAAUAAGUGUCCUGUUCAAUCACUGCACCAUUCCGAGUUUCACCUUAAACCGGUUUCUAUAAUGAUCAUCUGUUUACGUGCAACUAAUGAUUUUAGAGUUUAUUUUGUUCAUGACAUAUGCUGCUUAACAUUGAACACAUGUUUUGCUUCAUUUGAAAUUGAAAAGCUAUUAGGUUUUUCUAUAUUAGGAAUUACGUCAAGUGCUUUGAUCUUUUUAUGCUUAUUCAAUACUUUUUCUGUUGUGGAUUGAAGGUCCCUGUGGCCUGAUGUUCUUCACAAGGUAACUUUUCAAUCCCUAAUUUGGAGUGAAAUGAAACAAAACAUUGGCACUGUGUGGAAUUUUCGUCACAAGCAAAGCAUUUGAAGAAGUAAUAAGAAAAGGGUAGUGUCAAUAAUCUUUUGUAUUGGGCGUUUUGUGAUUUUCCCUUCUUUUUUUCUUCAUGUAUAAUCUGCCAAGUUUACUUGAUGUAGUGUUCUUGAUAUCAACUUGAGUUCUUUACUAAGAGCAGAGGUUGAUCAUAGUACUUUCUAUAUGUAGCAUAAUAUUUCAUGCCUUCCUGCAUGCAGAAUAGCCUCGGAAUGGAUUUAGUUCAAGGUACUCCCUUGUGUCAUAUAUUAAGGGCUCCCAUUAGUUGGCAGUGAUGGUGAGGAACUUGAUCCAUCUUCAGGUUUAGCAAGUUGCUGCAUGCUGUUGUAUGAUUCUAUGUUUCCCUCUUUUGAGGGUUCUAAUCUCAAGGUUCAGUCUUAACCAUUUGGAGCUUUGGGUAAUAAAAUGAGAAGGUUGAGAUGAAUGUUGGUCUGCUCUUCUGUCAUUUGUCUUCUCCAUUGAGUUUGAAGGUUAACUUCUCAACAGCAUUAAGCAUCUGCAGAGAAUUUUAAAAAAAGGUGUCGCUAUAUGGUCAUGAAUAGAAUCACUUCUUGUAUAUACUAGGAUAGAAUGAGAUACAUAACUCCUUUCUUGAUGAAAACAAGAUUUAUUUUGUGUGUGUUUGGCCAAUUUUAUCUGCAUUGGACUUGGCUAAGCUAAUUGUUAGAUGUUCCUAGUGAUCAACAUGUAAAUUUUUGGCUUUACUAUUCGAAUCCUGGACUAAAAUGUAGCCCUACUGCAAAUAUGAGAAGUUUAUAUAAAUAGGCAAUGAAGAUGAUUUGUACUUAACUUUAGGCACUUUAGCCCUAUCUGCAUUUGGUUUCGUUAUUUGAUCAAGGUCAUGUUUGAAUGCUUCUUUUGCUAGUCCGGUUGUAUGACCCAAGAAGCAUGACAGUUCUAGUUCAUUAGUGAUCUUUGACAAGAAAAGGGAGAGUAUUUGCUAGGUUCCUAGUGAUAGCUGUAGUAUAUAUUGCUUGAACUCUCCAAAAAUGAUGUUAUACUCGUGUCAAAUCCUCAAAAAUUACACUAUUCCUUUCAACUUUGCUAGAGUCUGAGUUCUCACUUCUCAUGACUGAAUGAGCAUUGGUCUGGAAUUCAACUUUGCAUUACACUUGUUAUGAUUAUGAUGAUAAUGAAAAAUUGGAGCAGUUGUCUUGUUGUAUGAACAAUAAUGAAGGGAACAGUAGUCUUUGUUGCUAUAGAUGCAUUGCAUGUAAUUUGUUAUGUGUGCAGUUUAAGUAGGAAGCAAAAGCAGCUGUUAUUAGGCUGGAAGAACAUGUGUAUUGACAAGUCACAUCUGGAUUUCAAAUUUUUGUUUAUAACUGCCGUCACAUUGCAUACAUGGAGGAAUCUUUCGCAAUGUUGCAUAUAAAAAAUAAGGAUUAAAGUUAUAUACACUGAUAAUUUAUACUAGUGGUGUAAAUUUCAUAUUUACCAAGUUAUUAAUUAUUGAUAAUCAUAGUGAUUAACUUGUAAUUAUCUUACAAGUGACAUUUUAAAGCAUCUUAAACUUUUUUUCCUCUUUUCUGGUAUAAGAAUCUUUCAUCCCUUUGUAGUCAGUUAGCUCCAUCAAAUCAAGAAAAGACAAACUAAUCAACUAAGAUAUAGUCAUGACAUGAGUCUUAUAUUAGUAUUACUAGUAUCUAAAAAGAAGGAAGUUACGUAGACUUUGUGAUACUUAUAUUAGUGCGAGCCAUUUGGGGAAAAAAUGUGCGAACUUGAUUCAAAGCGGAUUGAGUAAAAUUUAAAAUGUGUUUUAAGCACUUAUUUUUAAGUUUAAAAAGACAAAAAAAAACAAUCAAAAAUCACAAGUUAAAAUUUCUGCCUUUAAAAUCAAAAGUUAUAAGGCCAUCCAAACAGUCUCUAAAUAUUUACUCAUUUUGUUUUCCUGCUUCGAGUUUGCCUUAUCCCUUAAGAACUCUAUUGAGCUUUUUGUUAGAGCUAAAUUGGAGAAAAAUGAAAUGUUUCCACUCCCAAUGCCACAAAAUGAUUGAGGAUUACGAUAGAGUUAAAAUAAAUUUUGUUGUUUAUUAUAUUUAAUAAGUAUUACAUAAUCAAAUAACUAAAGAAAGGAUAGACUGCGGGAGAAUCUUAUUAAGUAGAUUAAUGACUCGUCGGAGCAGGACUUUAACUCCUUUUCUAUCAUGAACAAUAUAUCAGUUUUAAUUUCGACGUAUUUUGGAUGCUUAAAGGCAUCGCUUGACACAAAGUAGCAUUAAGCUAUGUAGGCUCUUCUUCGUCAAAUAAAUAAUUAAAUUCACCACUUUGGUCUUAUUAAUAAAUCGUUAUUAAUUCCAUAUAAAAUAUACUACUAAUAUUAAUUGAGUGCGAUGCUGAAUAGGUGCAAUAAUGAUGGAAAAUUUUCUUUUAAAAAUGAUUUAAAGUACGGACAAAUUUUAGAUCAUACAAAGGGGGAAAAUGAUGGAAGAUAAAAAAGUAAUUAUAUAAAGAGAGAUUCUCCACUAAAGCUUUUUUUGGUGUUUUAGGACUUUUUUCUUUAUCUUUUGGUAUACUAAUUGUAAAACUACUUUCAACUUUAUGCAACGAUAAUGUAAAUAAUUAUUGCACUCAAUGUCAAAAAGAAAAAAAAAAGUUUGAUACACUAAGCUUUCGUUAGGUGUGGAAUUAAGAAAAAUAAAUUAGAUCACAAGAAUCUAUUUUUAUGAGUACGAUUUGGAAAAGAUAAGGUACACUGUGCACAUAAAUUUUAUCCUUACUUUAAUAGAGUAAAGAAAUUGUUUUUGAUAAACUAUCGACUCAAGAAAAUUAUUUUCCCGAUUGUUUUUGGGACAAACUUUUCCAAGAUGUUUACAAAACGAAACGGCUAGUAGAUUCUUGAAACUUUUUUACUCAUGUCAUUGAGAUAUCAUUUUUAUCUUUUUUGUUACUUUAAUACUUUAUCAUUUGUAAUAAAUCUUUACAAUUAGUGACAAAUAGUAAUUAUUAUUGUGCUUAAAUGAUUAAUUGUAUUAUUUCAUGUCUCUUACAAUUAUUUUGUUUAGUAAAGAAAUAGGAGCCUAUAUGUGUCCAUGCAUGGAGCUCUACAUUAUUGGGAAAGUAUUUGUCCUAAAGUUUAAAGACGUUUUUUUUAAAAGUUUGGUCCCAAAAUGAUAAUAUUGACAAACUUUAUAUUAUAAGAAACAAAGAUUAUUAUAAUGGGAAACUUGUCCAAAAUUUUAUUAUAUAGUUUAUCCUUAUUUUUCUGAAAGGCCUUUUGCAUGUUUGUGAGUGUCCAAAAUGGUUACUUCUUCCAAUUCCAUGAACUGAUGAACUGCUUCAGUUUCACAUGAUAAUUGGACUCAUUUGUCAAUUGUUUUUAUGUAUCGUAUUUUUUCUGUCUCAAUUUAUAUAGACAUCAUUUUAUAUGAUAUAGAUAAUUUUUUUAUAAUUUAUUUAAAUAAAAUAUAUGAUAGAUGUUUUGUGUCUAUUCUAAUAUCUUAUUUAUUGUGUUUUGAUUAUUAUAUUAUUUUAUUAUUAUUUUUAACUCUUUUUUAGUAAGGUUUGCAUUGAUACCUUGUUACUUGCUAUAUUCUCUUUACUAUAUCCUUCUUCUUUGUAUUUGGAUUUAUUACGAGGGUCUUUCAGAAACAAAAUAUCUACUUCCACGAAGUAGUGAUAAAAUCUAUGUACAUUCUAUCCUCUCCAGACAACACUUAUGGGUUUAAUCAUCGGAUAUGUAGUUGUUGCUGAUGAAUAACUUGUGUGAUUAUAAAUUAUUUUAUUAAUACAAAAUUAUAUCAUUUAAAAUAUAAAAUUGCGUCAUUUUCUUUUGGACGAAAACUAAAAAUGAUAAAAGUGUGAUUGAGUACUAGAUUAUUACUUUAUUCGGUCCCAAAUAUUACUAGUUGUUUUGGACUUUUAGCAAAAGAUAAAUUUGUUCUAAAAUCUCUAAAAGAUUUUUUUUUCUUACAAAAAAUCACUACUAUAACUUCAAUAAGUGAAGUAUUAGUUAAAUUAAUGAGAAAUAUUAUACGGAUAGAAGAUAAUAAAUGCAUUAAGAAUUUUUGACAGAAAUAAUCCAUUAUGUAAAAUAUUUUAUCAAAAUAAUACAUUUUUCUGAAAUUUUACCAAAAUAGAUUAAAUGUAUUUGUCAGUAACGUUUUAUAAAUUAUUAUAUUAAAAAAUUUCAACGGACAAAAUUAACGGUAGACAGAUUUUAACAGAAGCAUAAAACGUUACCAUGAGUAACAAUUUAAUCUUAAAACGUUAUCACGAGGUAACGAUUUUCUGGUACAACCAUGAGUUUAAUCAAUCUCUCAGAUAAAUCUUCAUUCAUCUCCUCUUUCCUUCAUCCUAAUUCUACAGCACCAUCGCAUCUUUUCAGUUUUACCGAAAAAGUUCAAAAAUUCAUUUUUCAUAAUAUCAUAAUAAUAUUUGAAUCUCAUGUUUUCAAAUUCAAUACCUAUUUACAGCAAAACACAUUUUCAAAAUUAACACGACCUCAAAUUUCAACAACAUUCAACCAAAAAUGUAAUACCAACAUUUAAAAUAAAAACCAAAAAAUAAAUUGUAUUACACAGUAAAUCAAAAUUGCAAAUUACAAAAUUUUGAUUAUAUGUUCACAAUCAGCAAUUGCAAAAUUUAAAAUACAAUAGAAUAGAAAAAAAAAUUAAAUCACGAAACUCUAAUCGGAGUUGGACAUUUUCGAAAAGUCUCAACAUCAAUUUGAUAAUAUACAAAAAAAAAGAAAAAAAAGAAAGAAAGAAAGAAUAGAUUUAAACCUUGCACUAAUAAGUUAAUAACUCAUGAGAAAGGGGAUCACUCUUUAAGGAAAUUCUUAAAUUACAUCAAUUUUUUCAGUUGUUUCUUGGAUUCGUUGCAAGUAUGUAAGUUGCAACUGAAAUUUGAGAAAUUGAAAUAAUCUCAGUUUUCAAACAACAAGAUCUCACUCAAAUUAAGAUUUUUGAUGUUUCACAGAUGGUGAAAUUGGAAAUGAAGAAUCGCCAAAAUGGCAUUUUUCCUGUCACAGUCCAUAAAACUUAUUCCCCUGUUGCCUCCCCAAGAUUGAAAGGACACUUGUCUUUUUAUCGUUAAUUAAAACGUUACUCCGAAAUAUGUACUAUCUCAUGUCGUAACUGUUGAUCACAAAAUACUUCUUUAAUGCCGUUUAUAAUUAAAUAUUGUUUGCUUAUUCUUUAAAAUAAUUUUUUUAUAAAACCUUACUCAAAAGUACGUUUAUUCUAUUUUGGUAAAAUUUCAAAAAAUUAUACUACUUUUAUUAAAUACUUUAAAUAAUGGGUUAGUUAAGUCAAAACUUCAUGCAUUAAAGAAAUGGAUCUACCUAUCAUCGGAAACAUCUAAUUUAUUUGUUACUUUUGUUUUGUCCGUUACACAAAAGUUUUCUCUAAAGUUACAAUUUGCAACUUUUUUACUUUUAAAUUAAGAAUUGUUUAGAUACUACUAAUGGGACACUCUCAGCGAUCGUUUGGUAGGGUGUAAUAAAUUAAUAUAUAAAAUAAUUUCACAUAUAUAUAUAUAUAUAUAUUUGAUGUGUGUUACUUGAGUCAAGGAUCUCUUAAAUAUAUCUUUUUUAUCUCUCUAAAAUGAGUAAAAUUUGUGUAAUCUUUUUUAAACUUUGUUUAUAAAAUUACAUUGUUAAAGUUUUGUAUAGAUAAUGCAUAUAAAAAACUUAAAUCUAUAAAAAGAAAGUGGAUUAUUUCUCUUUGUUUACCUUGGUUUUGAUGACUCAUUUUGAAACAUAAUAUAAUGUGCAUUAUUACUAGUUUAUAUACCUAAUGUAUGUGGGAGGUGAUUUUAUGUCGAUUUAAAUAUUGGAUAAGGAGAAUACUAAUGUCUAUGAAGUUUUAAAAAAUAUAUUUUUUGGUUAUAUAAAAUAUUAUUUGUAAAUCAAUGUCGGCCACAUUCUUCUGUAUAGUCAAAUUACGCUGCUCUUUUUAAAAAUGUAUAUUACUAUUGGUGUCUUCUAGGAAUAUAAAUUUACUACUUUAAUUUAUUUAUAAUAAAAUAAUAACAAUGCAAUGUAAGUAUGAACCAUGCAGCGCAGCAUCCAAAAUCCACUACUAAUUAAUUAAUAAAUAAAUCACAUUGCCCUUUCUGUUCUUUCAAGAAAAUUAAUCAAGUUUAAAUUAUUGUCAUCUACAAUAUAAUGUCAUCAUGUAUUUAAGAAAAUAAUUUUUUAUUCGAACUCUAAUUUCACGGGUGGUACUACUAGCUUGCUUGUAUAACAACACAAGAGCACUCCUUCCUAUACUCCUCAUAGGUGUACCGUUAACUAUACCUAAUUUUUGUCAAUUUCUCAAAAUAGAUAUACAUAUAUAUACAUGAUUUUUUCUGAAGUUAAUGGGUGCAUGUGCAUCCCCUUGUAUGACUUUGGGUCUACCUCCGCUUAUAUGAUCGAGUAACACAUCCAAAUCUAUUAAAAUUAUAUUGGAGUGAUAAACACUCCUUCAUUCUUAAUCAGAGGUUCGAGUUGCUCUGAAUAUAGUUCCCUUUGUCCAAUGUUAGUUAAAAGAAUUUAUUUUUGAUUGAUAGUUUAUUAUGUAUAAAAUUCUAAAUCAUUUUCAAACAUUAAUACACUAAUAAAAAAUUAGUAAUUUAUUAGUACUUUUUAAAUUUUAAUGGAGAAAAAAAUAAACUAAAAAAGGGGCCACUUAUGACUUAUGAGAUACGGCGUUAUAACUCAACUUGUAUAGUUGCAUGAAUCAUCACUUCACAACAACUGGUAGCACCGUCUUUUUCUUCCUUUUUUUUCUCGAUGUUCGUUAUUUAUAUUAAAACUACACAAUCAUUUUAGAUAUAAUAUUUUUUAAUAUAAUUUGAAAUUGAUAAAUCAGUUUCACUACUGCAUCACAAUGGUACAACAGGCAGCAUUGUCACUCACCAGCUGAGAAUAUAAUUAGCUGGAUUUGCACCAUCCAAAAUCUGUCUUCCAUGAAUAUACUUUUUAAUACAAUAAUUACUCCAUAAUCUUCCCCAAUUUUCUACCUUUUCACACACACAGAAACUUUUUCUCCCCUUAGAUUUUUCUCCCUCUGCUUUCUGUCACUCUCUUGGUUUCUUCUCUUUCCUCUCUUCAAAUUUCUGUCUUUUUUCCUCACUGUAAACACAGACAACUCCCCCGCCCCUAUGCUUUCAGCAAUUUGUCUUCUAUUACCAUUUCUCAUUUGACCAAAUUCCAAAAAAGGAAUCUUGCUGAACAUUCACAAAGAACAGAGCAGAUUGAUUAUUCACAAAAAAAAUUAAAUAAUGUAAGCUAAAUAAAAUAAAAUAUAUGCUCAAUAGUAAGGAACUUCUUCUUGAUUCUUGAUUCAGUACAAAAAGUGUUUCUUAAAGUUCUCAUCUUUUUUUUCUAAAGAAAGAAUCUGUUAACGAUGGUGGUUUCCUUUUUCUUCAUUUUCUUCCUCUGUUUUUCACCUCAGUACUAUUACUUAUCAUUUGCCACCACCGCCGCCGCCGUCUUCUCCGGAAACAACCGCCGUGUUCUCCAUGAACCCUUUUUCCCAUUAGACUCACCACCACCAUCUUCUCAACCACCCAUACCUUCUCCUCCAGCCCCUACAGAGUACCCAUUUCAAGGCUCUACUACUACUCCUGAUAACAGUGAUAAUAACCCCUUUUUCCCUACUUACCCUUCUCCUCCACUUCCCCCUGAUUCACCUGCUGAUUUUGUUCCUGCAAAUGUUUCUUCUAUUAUCCUUCCAAAUACCUCCAAAUCUAACCCUGUUUCAAAUAAACUUAUUGUCACUGCUAUUAUCUCUGUUCUUGCUGCUGUCAUUGUUCUAUCUAUUGCUAUCUUUUUACAUAUACGAAAGCGAAGGAAACAGAGUGACCGGAAAACUCAAAGAUCUGAUAGUAAUAGCAAUGGGUUGAGUCGGGAUGGUGCUAGGAGUGAUGGUAAUAAUGGUGUUCCUAAGCUUCAAAGACCGUCUCAAACUAGUUCGGAGUUUCUCUAUUUGGGUACUCUUGCUAGCUCACAUGGCGGAGUUGAAACACAUAAUGCUCAGAAUCGUAAUGGUAGUAACACUAGCUCUACUCCUUCUUCGAGAAAAAUGGACUCGCCGGAGCUCCGUCCAUUGCCGCCGUUGCAUGGACGGAAUUUGAGACAGAGUUAUGGGAAUACCAGGUUUUUCUCCGGUACUGCUGAAAAUGAUGUAGAUUUUUACUCUUCUGCGGGAUCUAUGGGUGGUAGAGAGAGUUCAAUCGGAGGUGACUCACUGUCCCGGAGAGAUUUUUCUGCUGUUGAAGUUGAGAAAUUUGUUGGCUGUAGCUCAUCUUCUUCGAGUUCGUCCUCGAGUUCCGGGUCCGGUUCGCCGGUCCGGUCUGUAUCGCUGAGCAUUUCGCCGCCGGCGAGUUUGAGUCCGGAAAGGAAAAGUGUAAGACCCAAGUCACCGGAACUGGUCGCUGUUGACACCGCUCCACCACCUCAGUAUCCACCUCCUCCUCCACCGCCACCGGCGACUAUUGUGCCACCAUUUGCAGAAUCUCCAUCUCCAUCACCAUCACCUCCAUGCCCAUUAUCACCAGAGAGAUAUUCAACCAGAAGUAUGGACUCAUCUCCGGGAAUUUUCAAUCUUUUGGAUCAGGAUGUUCAGUUUCCGGCGAGAAUCAGAAAUCACAUUCAGCAAGCCACACCAGCUUUUGGACCACCACCGCCACGUCCGCCACCACCUCCACCACCUCGGUCUAAGAAUAUGGAAAGCCCCAAAACACCCUCACCUCCAUUUUCAAAGCCAGCAUUUAACCCUCCAGUUCUUGAAUCUCCUUUAAAACCCAUAGGAAUUGAGAGUCCAGUAUUGGUUUCUCCAAUGGAGUUGCCUUCUAUUUCGGAACAUAUUGAGAAGAAUGAUGAGAAAACUGAGGAACCCAAACCAAAGCUGAAAACUUUGCAUUGGGAUAAAGUGAGAGCAAGUUCGGAUCGCGAAAUGGUUUGGGAUCAACUGAAAUCAAGCUCAUUUAAGUAUGAUAAUCUGUAACUAUUGCCUUUUGUUUGUAUAAGUUGAAUAGAGCUGAUACUGAUUUAUUUGCAGGUUGAAUGAAGAGAUGAUAGAAACACUGUUUGUUGUAAAGACUCCAACUUUGAAUGCAAAUGACACAGCUAGACGUCUUGUUCCCUCACCGAGCCAAGAGAAUAGGGUACUUGAUCCAAAGAAGGCACAGAACAUUGCAAUUUUGCUGAGGGCCAUAAAUGUAACCACAGAGGAAAUAUGUGAAGCCCUUUUAGAAGGUAUUCGCAGUUCUUUGAAGAGUUUAACUUAAAUACAUCGAUAUUUAUGCUAUUAGGCUGACGUAAAAGAUAACUACGGUAAUCAUUGGGAUUUGUAGGCUGGAAAAUAAGAAAGGUUACCUAGUACAGUGGGUUAAAAUGCUUGGUAUUGUAGGAAUUCUUUACAUUUGGUGGUUUAUAUAAGUUAAAUCUCUCUCUGAAUUGAAAAUUAAGAGCUGAAAAAUGGAAUGAUGGAAGUGUCUGUUAGUAUUGAUCGAGGCAAAAUCAUGUAGUUUAUCGUGCUAAAAGUUAUGCUCCUUUGCUCCCAAGAAUUUCAGUACAUGGAUUUUGAAAUCAUGUAAAAAGUUUACCUUCACUCAAUGUUCUUUGUUGGUUUCAUCAAUAGGCAGAAGUUCAAGUGUAUGUAGAAGUUGUAAAGUGUUUGGAUUUAGGAGAAUAGACAGCAGUAACAAGUUACAUCUUCUAUUCAGGAAAUGCUGAAACUAUUGGAACUGAGCUCCUUGAGAUUUUAUUGAAGAUGGCUCCAUCCAAAGAGGAAGAACGUAAACUAAAAGAAUACAAAGAUGAUUCUCCGGUCAAGCUCGGACCAGCAGAGAAGUUUCUGAAAGCAGUGCUUGAUGUACCUUUUGCAUUCAAAAGGGUAGACGCUAUGCUGUAUAUAUCAAAUUUUGAUUAUGAGGUCGACUACCUCAGAAAGUCAUUUGAAACUCUAGAGGUAACUAUUUUAAGUCAUCGUCAACUCCUACUUGUUAUUGAUGAUCCAUUCACUAAAAAAGAAUUUUGAUUUAGAUCAGAAGUAAACUUGUGAAUUAUGUCUUUAAAAUGCUUUCCUACUACAGGCAGCAUGUGAAGAGUUGAGAAGUAGCAGAAUGUUCUUAAAGCUUCUGGAAGCCGUGUUGAAGACGGGUAACCGCAUGAAUGUUGGGACAAACAGGGGAGAUGCUCAUGCCUUCAAACUUGACACACUGCUAAAGCUUGUAGAUGUAAAGGGAGCAGAUGGGAAAACAACCCUUUUGCAUUUUGUGGUUCAGGAGAUUAUAAAAGGUGAAGGUACUCGUCUUUCCGGAGGAGAUCAGAACGAACAGUGUACCACUAAUGAUGACGCUAAGUACCGGAAACUUGGCCUUCAAGUUGUUUCCAACAUUACUUCAGAGCUUAUACAUGUUAAAAAUGCUGCUGCUAUGGAUUCAGAAGUGCUCCACAGCGAUGUUUUAAAGCUUUCUAAGGGGAUUGGAAACAUUACUGAGGUUGCAGGAUACAUUGAAGCCGUUGGAUCAGAGGAAAGCAGUACUAAAAAAUUCUCUGAGUCCAUGAACAGGUUUAUGGAAAUAGCAGAAGAGAAGAUCAUAAGGCUCCAAGCUCAAGAAGCAUUGGCCAUGUCACUGGUGAAGGAAAUAACCGAGUAUUUCCAUGGAGAUUCAGCUAGAGAAGAGGCUCACCCUUUCAGAACCUUCAUGGUGGUCAAAGACUUCCUAAUGAUUCUUGAUCGCGUUUGCAAGGAAGUUGGAAUGAUAAAUGAGAGAACAGUAGUUAGCUCCGCGCAUAAAUUUCCAGUUCCUGUUAAUCCAAAUCUACAACCUGUCACUAGCAGUUACACAGCUAAACGGCAGCAUAGUUCCUCUGAUGAUGAAUAUUUAUCUUCUUAGUAGUGUUAGUUGGUCAUAACAGGCAACUCCCUAGUUUUUUGCUUCUGGCCAAAACCAAUGUAAUCUACUAUAAAGGCCUUAUAGGAGUUUGCCUGAGACUGUACCACGAAUUUUCGAGUAUAAGUAACUCUAAGUUGUAUUUAUUAGAUCAUUUUGUAUAAGAUCUUGGAAAUUCUUUAUCCUUUUCAUAUAUAUAUAGCAAGAUUUAUCAUCACAUCCAAAAUAAUAGGAAGGUUCAAACCUACAUUGAUGGAUACAAUAACAACAUACACGAGGUCUGGGAGGGUAGAGUGUAUGCGGAUAUUAUAGAGAGGCUCAAGUAUUCUUUGUACUAAUCUAACUAUAUGGAAUAUAAAAUACAAAGUCUUCAAAUGUUUGGAACAUUUUACAGUCAGCUUUGAGUGAUGGAUUUUUUCCAACUUUGCAUUUUAUAAUUACUGGAAGAUGAGACUACACUGUUCAAGCAGUAAAUCUGAAAAGAGGAAAAAUACUGACUAACACCAAUCUGUAGAAAUCUCUUCACCAUUAAAAAUACAGAAAAAGAAGCACAAAUUACAUAGUUGGGUAGCUAUGAAUAAGGGACUUACAGUAGAAAUAGAAUGAUAUUAUAUAGAUAGUGAACCGUGGUAUUUGUACAGGAUAGAAAAUGAUCUAGUAAUUAUUGUAUCUUACUCGACCAUUAUCGAAGGGCUUCAUUUACUUAUUGAGCAACAAUGAGCUCGUCCAUUUGGAAUCCGCUAUCACUCUCAGGCAUCAUAAUGUCAUCAUCAGUUGUGAAAUGAUAUCGUUCUCCGAUGGCUCUCAGAAGCUGGUACAGUUCAAACAUUGUUGGCCUCUCCUUAGGAGCAGCAGCCAACACACAUCGACAAGCAACUUUAAGGACCUGGAAGAUCUCACUGUCAUAACCUUUACUAGACAAUGAAUGGUCAAUCGCAUCUUGAAGUUUAGAUUCACCAGAGAGUUGUGUGAUCCAUUCCACCAAAUUCCCCUUAAAGGUCUCGGGAGCUUUGGCGACAGAAGUUGGUGUCUCACCUGUAACUAACUCGAGAAGUACAACACCGAAACUGUACACAUCACCUUUUGGUGUAGCCAUGAGAGUUCGCGCGUACUCAGGUGCAACAUAACCAAAGUCCCCGAAUUCCCCAUUUACAAAGGUACUCAAAUGAGUGUCAACUGGAUUCAUGAGCCUAGCAAGUCCAAAAUCCGAUAUUUUAGGUUCAUAUUCCACAUCCAGCAAGAUGCAUUUAGAACUAAUAUUUCUGUGGAUGAUACGAGGAUUGCAGUUGUGGUGAAGCCAUGCAAAUCCUUUGGCUGCUCCAAUAGCGAUUUUCAUUCUCAUAGGCCACUCAAGAGUUUUUUCCCCUUCACUCACCGAAUGCAACCUAUCAUGCAAGGUGCCAUUUGGCAUAUCUUUGUAGACCAACAGCCUUUCUUUUUUCGCCAUGCAGAAACCUAAAAGAGGCACCAGGUUACGGUGCUUUACAUUUCCCAACGUAGCCAUCUCGGAUGUAAACUCUUUCUCUGAGUGUUGAGUAUUCUGCAACCUCUUAACCAUAAGUGAAGUGCCAUCAUCAAGUACUGCUUUGUAGAAUGUCCCGGUUCUUCCUGACCCAACAAUAUUGUUCUUGCUGAAGUUGUUGGUGGCCUUCAUGAGAUCACUUAGUCUCAUUUUUGAAGUAGAUUUCUCAAACAUUGAAAGCUGAAAAUAAGGCACUUUAAGUCAAUUAAGAAUGCUUGAGCAAGAGAAAACUCACACGAGCUUAUGGUGAAAAAUUCAUUAGUUAAAUGCUUAUAUUAAAACACGAAUUUAUGGUUCUAAAUAUGAUCGCAAUGCCACAGUAGAACCCGUAAACACAAACCACAACCCACUAGAAUUGAUUUAUGACCUAUCAACAAAGCACGAACAGAAUUCUCACCUGGAUUGCCUUGGAACCCUUGAUACUCUUCGCCCAUUUAUUCCCUUCAGGAUCAUCUUCCUUUUUCCUCUUCCUGGAUAUCUUUCUCAUAUAGAAGAACAUACCGAUGGUCAAUAAUACAGCGCCUAAAGUCACCCCACCAACAGCAGCACCGACAAUGAUUCCAGUAGGGGAUUUCUUAGCAUAACCCUCACAAAGAGCUAAUGGUGGUCCACACAGUCCGGCAUUAUUGGCAUAGCUCUCUGGGGGAAAAGUUGAAUUUAUGAAACGUGGAACUGGUCCAGUCAAUCGAUUGUUUGCUACAUUAAAAUUCUUGAGCCGACCAAGCAGGGCAAUUUCUGGAGGAAUUUGACCCGUAAACUGGUUGUUGUCAAGUCUAAGGCUAUUCAAAAAAGAGCAGUUUGCAAGAUUAACUGGGAUAUCCCCUGAUAGAUUGUUGGAUGAGAGAUCCAGCGUUACCAUAAAACCUAUAAUUUUGGAGAUAUCAUUUGGAAUACUUCCAUGGAGUUUGUUGCUCGAAAGAUCUAAUGAUGUAAUAGAGGUGCAAUUCUUAAGACCACGUGGAAACUUGCCCUUGAGACCCAUGUCAGGAAGACUGAUACUCAGAACCCUGGUUUCAUCAGGAUGCCAGCACUGAAUCCCAGCAAACUUGCAGAUGAAACCUUCGGUCUGAUUAUCGAACUUCCAUGUUGUGUUCAAGAACUUCAAUGGAUCUUCAAAUGAAUCUUUUAUAGAUUUCAGACAGUCAAUGUCGCUUUGAAGAGCAGAGCAAACAGCACAGCUCAAGACCAAGUAGAUCAAAAUAGCAGCAAAGGUAGUAAGAGCUCUGUUAUCCAAAGCCAUCUUGGUGAGAGGCCCAGUCAUAACCGCAACAAUCGAAGGUCCUAAUUAAGUAGUUGACUGAAACAUUUAAGAUCUCUAUAGACUAGUUUGCAACCCCGAAAAAUCCAUUGCAAGAACAAAUCCAAUUUCUCCCGAGUUAAGAAGCAAAAUGUAAGGCUGCAAGAAAAAAAUAAGAUGAUGAAUCAGUUUUAUCAAUCAGUCAAUGCUGCCUCACUUCCAAACUAGUAAAAAAAAAACUAUAUGAAUCUACGUUUCAUCCGCUCUAUUCGGACUCAUUUCAUAUCAACAUUAGAUAACUUUUCUUCUUAAGCGAACUAGUGAUUCUCCAGAAGUAGAGGUACUCAAAUCCCACAGUUACAGGACAACCAAAAUAAAGAUUGAAGGACAAGUCAGAUACAAGCAGAAAACUGUUCCUCACAGAUUUUAAUGGGAAAAACGGCAAACAAGGAAGCAAAAGAGACUUGGGAAGAGAAAAAAGCACAAUAACAGCAAUCCAAGAGAUGCACUUCCAUAAAACUAUCGUCAACAAAAGUAAAACUUCAUUCAAAAGAUGAUUUCACCUUAUCAUCUACAUUGACAACCAUAAAAGUUCACGCCUUUUACGUGGAAGUUGAAAAAAAAGAACACCCCUACUUGAUAUAAACAAAACACACGAUGGAAGUUGGUUUUAUCUGAACUUACAAAGCCACAAGCACAAACUUCACACCUCCAAGAAGGAAGCUGAUAAAAGCCCCCUUACUUGAUAUACAGGGAAUCCCAACAAGCAAGUCUAAUAGAACCCAGAAAAGGUUCUGAAAAUCAAACAACAAGAGAGCAAAUUCCUAUCCCAAAAAAAAUUAAUUGAAGUUGAGAGCUUUUUGACCAUGACCUUCAAAUUUUCAACAAAUAAUAAACCACUGUCCUUGUUCAAAGUACUCAAGAAGGCAGCCAAUGUAUUAAAGAAAUGGUUAGUAAUAAUUAGUUAAUCACUAAGGUCAACAACAACAACAACAACGGCAACAACAAACCUAGUGUAAUCCCACAGGUCGGGUCUAGGGAGGGUACUGCACAAACCUUACCCCUACCUUGAGAUGGUAGAGAGAUUGUUUCCGAGAUACAGAAUUUACUUGAUCUUCCACAUCCACAAGCACAAAAGUUCAGACCUUCAAAAGGAAAGUUCAAAAAAGAAAAAAGACCUCUACUUGAUAUAAGACACAAACCCCAUCUCACACAAUCCACAAAACCCAAAAAGGGUUCUUAAGAUCAAACAACAAAAGGCCAAAUUCAACUUCAAUUUCCAGAAAUACAAGUCCAGAGCUUUUCUAUGCAACUUUCAAAAUUAAACAAAUUUACAAAGUCCAUAUUCAAAGCAGCUACCAACACAAUUAAAAAAAAAUCAAUCUUUUUAUAGCAACUAGGCAAAAAUACCAAAAAAACUUCAAUUUCCAUAAAUUAAGUCCAGACCCUUUCUACACAACUUUCAAAAUUCAACAAAUUACCAAGUCCUUAGUCAAAGGCAAGCAACAACAUAAUAAAGAAACAAUUUUUAAUAAGAAAUUCUACCAAUAAACAAAUUGAGCAUAAAAAAUACCAAAAGAAGACCAAGAAAUUAUAGAUGCAAGAUACUUACAGCCCAGUUGAGGAUAUCAAAUGCUGGAUCUUGAUGGUCAAUUACAAAGAAGAAAAGGGGCAAAAAAAGAGAGUAUUUUUUUGAUGAUACAGUUUUUCUUUGGUCAAAGAAAGAAGGCUAACAGUGAGAACUAAAACUGAAAACUUGCAAAGAAAUUGAAAAAAAGAAAAAGAGUGUUAAACGGGGACAGGCGACGACCAGUUGCUUGACUUGAUAUUUCAUUUGUUAUUGGAAAAGUUUUUAGCUAGUGUGAAACCCAUCAUUAUUCUUUGAACCAAAAUAUAAUUCACUGAAAUACUGAAAUGGAUCACAUGAAUUGUGGUGCAUUGGUGAGAUUAUUUUAUUUUAAUUAGAACUUUUACAUUCGAGAUUUAAAUAUGAAGAAAAUCUUGUUAGGAGCAUCUUUUCGAAUGAAUCUUGCCGGGUAUUAAAAUUUCAAUAUAAACUUUCGACCCGCUAUAAUUUUUUUUUUUAAAAAGCAAGUACUGAAAUGAAAAUAUUGAAAGUGAAGAAAAAAACUUUAGAUGACUUGUGACUUUUAGACUCUUUUUUCCCCUUUUCACACCUCAAGCUAAUUGAUCGAGUUUACCUGACACAUUUUCUUUUUCAAUUUAUCUUAAGAUAAAAUAUUAUUGUGUUCGUUUUAGUUUGUUUGUUUUGUUUAAAUUCGACAUAAAUUUUAAGAUAGUUAGAAACUUUUUGAAUUUUAUCAUCUUAAAUUAAAAAAAAUAUGUUAAAUAUAUCAAAAAAAUAAUUUUAUGAUAUUAAACAUGUCACCUAGAAUGUUGAAAUUAAAGAGCUAAUAAAAAUAUAAUAAUUAUACUUUCUUUUUUAAAUGAACUAAAAAGAUAAGUAUGAUAAACAAAUUGAAAUGAUUCUAUAAUUGGAAAAUUUUAACUUUAUUAUUUUAUCUUAAUAAAAUGAUGAAUAAUAAUACAAAUAUGCAUUUUUUAUUUUAAUCAAUAAUUUUUUAAAUAAAAACUAUCUUGUUUAAACUUUGUAUUAAGUCGAUUAUAUAAAUUGAACUGAGGGAUUAUACACUUUUUUUGGUCCAUUCUCCAUUAUUUUGUUUCUUCGAUUGUUCUAUUUUUAUUUUUAUUUUUGUUUAUUUUAGUGACAUUCAUUUUUCUUCUGAGAUUCAUAAUGAAGAAAAACAUUAUUAAAGGGUCAAACACUGUAAUUAAAAAGCUUUAAAAUUUGCCCCCUUUUUCAGAUUAACAUUUGCAAUGAAAUGUUUAAAAUAUUCCCACUUAGAUUGAUCAAACUAUUACAAGUGAAGUUUCUAUCCUACAUUUUAUAUACAUAUAUAGGAGUCAAUGACUAAUAUAUUCAGAUGAGACGAUUUAGAAUGAUGACAAUUAUAAUUCAAGAAUGAGCUUUGAUUCAAUAGUCUUACGCAAUCUAAACACGCAUACAUUAAGUGAGAAAAAAAAUAGAGAUAAAAAGAUGAAUAGUUAUUAAAAAACCUUUAAUACGCUUCAUAUUUAAAUAAAAACAUUUGAGCAAAUACAAAAUUUAAAUAUUUAUCUAUAAAAAGUAUAAAUUAAUAGUAACAACGUAAAAUCGUUUAUUAUUUUCAUUAGGGCAGUGGAAAUAAAUAGAUAAUGAAGUAAUUAAUACAUGCUGUGUUGCACGAGUAAGACGGAAAGUUUGAUCCAAACCUAUAAUCAACUUUGAAAAUAGAUGAUUUGCUCUUAACAUGUUUUUCUCACUAUAAUUAAUGGAAUGACCUUCAAAUGCGGACAAAAAUAAUAAAUAAACCAUAUAUUUUAUCAUAAUAUUUGUAUUAACUGGUGUUUACUAGUUUUUAAUGAACUUGAAAAAUAAUAAUUCGAAUGAGUAGUUAUCAAAAAUUCUCAUGGAUCAUUUUAGGUUAUAUAUCAACAUAAUUUUUAAAAUAAGUUGAAUCAAACGAAUCAAAAUAAAUUGAAUUAAUAAAAUAAAUGAGUCAUUAAUCUGGUGAAACCAAACGAAUCGAACAAAUCAUAAUUUGAUUUAGCCAUCCAAAUUUUUUUUUUGCACGAAUUAAAAUAUAUUAUUGAGAAUAAGUUAAAAGCACCUAAAAGACUAAAGCAAACAAUUUUGAAAUAGUAAUGAUUCGUUAAUUUGCUAACAUGGGAUUUUUUUUCUUAAAGUAGAUCAAUCUUUAACUUUAAAAAAGGGUUUGAUUUUGCAGUGAAUAGAUAGGAACAUUUAAUCAAAUCUCGGUUUUAUUUUCACAAUUAUUGAAAUUAAGCUAUAGUUGACCUUUCCACAAAUCAAAUUGCACAUUUAUGAACCAAACAAAAAAUAAAUAAAUAGAUUUUUAAUUAUAAAUUAUUUUAAUUCACAACUAUAUUAUCAGUGGCAAUGAAUGCGAGGCUCCACAAUUGGGCUGUUUAAGAUCGUAGAUACCUUUAGAACAUGUUAACGAACAUUCAAAAUAAUUCGAAGCUAAUUAAUAAUCUGUUCAAUCAAAUUUUUAGUAUUUAAAAACGUUCUUUUUAAUUUAUUUUUUUGAUGAGAAGUAAUUAUAUUUGGUCAAUAAAUUUUAAAUAUAUAUUUGAAUUGGUAUUUGACCAACCUUUUAAAAAAUUGUUUCUAGUAUAGUUUUCUCAAAAAGUAUUUUAUAAGAAAAAUAUUUUUAGGAAAACAUUAAGAGCUCUCACAUUUUUUAACCGUUGAUAAUCAAACUUUCAAUCUUAAGACUGGAAUGUUAUAUUAUAUGAUCAGGACCAAGAACAUCUUUUUUUCGUUUGCUAAAGUUUGGUGGAUAGGAUUAUACAUUAUUUGUGCAUGUGAGAGUUAGUUAAAAUAUAUAGCAAAUGAAUAGUGGAAGCCUAUGUAAAUUAAUGUAGUAUAAAAAAUUAUGUGACACUAAUUAACUUUUAACGGUUAAAUUUUUAGUUUUGAUUAUAGAUAUGUAUAUGAAACUCAAAAAAGAGUGAAAUAAAAGUUACCUAUUUGAAGUAACAAUAACAACAUAUCUAAUGUACUUUUGAAAAGGAUAGACAGUAGGCGAAUUUUGCCAAUUACCCCUAUUGAUAUAGGUAAAGAGAUUAUUUUUGAUAGAUCCUAAAAUGUCUAAUGCAGUUAAAAAAAAGGUAACAAACGUAAAAAUAUAAUAAAAUAUUUUGAACUGUAAUUACACACAAUAAAAUAAUAUAAAAAUCAGAGUAAAAGAAACAAUCAAUAGUAGCAUAAACAGAAGGACAAAAAAUAACAAAAGUAAUAUUAUGACCACUAGUAUGAACGAACAACGAUACAACACAUUACUACAUACUAACCUCUAUCCUAAUCUGUGUCCUUCACGGUCUCUUAUCUAAGGUCUUGUUACCGAUAGGCUGAAAUCGAGGGCCUGUUUUGCCACAAAUAUAUUUGAGAACUAGUGUUUGGUCAUAUAAUUUGACAUUGCUUGACCAGGGUCGUAUACAGGAGGGGGUAACCGGGUUCACGUGAACCCAUGGUCCCCUCCUGAAAUCAUAUAUAGUAGUGUUAUAUUUUUAAAACAUAAUUAAAUAUAGAUGCGUGAACCCAGACUCGAAGUAUCAUAUAAUGUAGUACGAUGAUAAUUGGGUGCACCUCUCUAGGUGAGGUUAGAAAUUUGAAUCUUUUAUCUAUCUUGUUUUAGUUUUCUUUCUAAGAUUUUGUAUAUGGUUUGGAUAAAUAAAAGUUAAUUUUGGACCUAUGAUUUUAAAAUUUUAAUGCUUUUCAGUAAAAAGAAUCUAACCGAUCAAAUUUAUGUCUUAGAUCCACCUUUUUGUAAUAGUGCACCCAUUAUCUAUAAAUCCUGAAUACGCCUCUGUGCUUGACAAAUAUAUUUGGCAAACAUCUCAAGUUUCAUAGAGUAGAAAGGAGGAUCAUAGAACGAAUAAAUGGUGGAGACAAGGGGUGACGUAUAUUCAUGAUGCAUUUUCUUUUCUUCAUCCGCUCUACUUCCCCAAACAUAAUUAUAGUUUUUGAGCCAAAUUUUAUUUUUUUUAAAAAUUGCCUCAAUUUUUUAUAUUUUAUAAAAAAACACCCAUUAUUUAUGAUUUUUGACUAAAUUUCAUUCAUGGUUUGUUGUACAAAAUUUAUACUAAUAUGUACAUAUUAUAUACAAUUUUAUCCGAACUUGCUUUUUGAAGUCAUUUUCCGUUGGUGUAAUAUAUCACAAAUACAAUAAAUUACAGUUGAAAAUAAAAUGAACAAAAGUGAAUAAACCAAUCAUUUAGGUUGAGGUGCAAAUAUCUCGUUCUCUAUAAGGAAACAAGUCUACUAUAGUAUAAUUUACAUUGAUCCAGUAAUAUCAAUCUUGACUUGGCCUUUCAGGAUACAACAAUCCAAUAUCAUCGCACAACUCAAACAACUCCAGGAUUUUGUUGAAGAUUCCAAAGCUCCACAAAAAAAAAACACAUUCCUUCAACAUAUAAUUACUCUCUUUUGUAUAGUGAAUACAGUUGAAGACUUGGAAUAUUUUCUUUGUCGCAACUCUCUCUUUCAUUACUACACACUAAAAUAUUAUUUCGCACUUCUCAUCUUUCUUGGGAUUAUAUCUUCUCUCCCCAAUACAAAGUAAGAUCACAUUAUUUAUAGGUGAUAAAUUCUUCUUUACAAUGAAUAUGAAGAUAAUGAGUAGUAAAUUGAGUCAACGAAUAACCCAAAUGUUACAUAAGUUACAAGGUAUAAUGAGAUAGAAUAAUUGGUGGAAUCAGUGGUAGAUCAUGACAAUAGUGAUUACAAGAGUUACAUCACUAAUAUGUCUUGUAAUCACUAUAAAGAGUUACAUUCUUGUCAAAUUAUACCCACUAAUAUAUGCACUUAAUAUUUUAAUUUUAAUAUCAAAAUGCUUAAAUACCAACACUUCCAAUUACAAGUAGUAACAAUAGUUUUUCAUAUAUAAAUCAAUGAUAUUUCCUUUUGUUUUCUUCCUUUUUUUUCAAAUUCAUACCAAUUAUGUUCGUUGUCAUAGCUUUCCAUGAAACAUUUUCAUUAUAAAAUGAUAAUACAAGCUUAUGACUAUUUUUAUUAAGUUUUAGAACUUAUAGGUAUAAAACAUAUAUUUUUUUGGGAAAAGGGUCAAAAAUAUCCUUCAACUUUGGUUUAUUGUUUGACUUUACCCUCGCUGUUAAAAUGAAGUUAAAUUUACCCUCGCCAUUACUAAUUUCACCAAAAGUACCCCUCAAAUGGAUGGAAAGCCCCAAAUCAACUAAAAUUACCCAAUUUUGAUUAAAAUGACCAGAUUUCUCUUACCCGACCCACGAAUUCAUACCAAAUUAAAACCCUAAAUCCAUUUCUCUAAUCUUCCUCUCCUUCCUCAGUUGAAACACCCUAUUAUCAGUUAACACCCAUAACUUAGAGGCAAAAAAGCUCAACUACAAUAUCAUUCUCCUUCUUCUCACAAGGUAAGUCAUUAUCUAUUGAGUUAAUUUCAUUUUAUUAUGCUAAUGGAUAUUUAACAAUGAUAGUUGCUAGCAUAUCACAUUAGCGGGAAAUUGAAAAUAAAUAAUUUGUAAUUUCGAUCGGUAAUUUUAGAGAAACUUUUGUGUUUUUUUUUUCAUUUCAGAAAUAGAGUUGAUUGAUCAAUGAUGAAGAUUGAGGUGGGAAAAUCGACAAUGGUGUAGCCGGUGACUGAGACGCCGCAACUAAGGUUGUGGAACUCUAUGGGAAAAACAACGAUGGUGUAGCCGGUGACAGAAACUCCGCAACUGAGGUUGUGGAACUCUAAUGUGGAUUUGGUGGUGCCUAAUUUCCACACACCAGUGUUUGUUUCUAUAGGCCAACAGGAUCCCUAAAUUUUUUGACCGAAAGGUGCUUAAGGAGGUAUUAAGCAAAUCCCUACUGCCGUUUUAUCCGAUGGGUGAGAGGCUGUGCAGGGACGAAGAUGGCCAUAUUGAGAUUGAUGGUAAAGGCCAAGGUGUGUUGUUUUGCAGAAGUUGAGUGAUGGUGUGGUGGAUGAUUUUGGUGAUUUUGCGCCGACGUUCGAGGCUUAUUCCGGUAGUUGAUGGAAUGGAAUCUUAUGCUCUCUUAGUGUAAUGGGUAAAAGAGAUUGGGUUUUAGGUUAGAGGGGUCGGGGCAUUGGUUUUAAAAUGGGGAAUGGGUCUUUUUUUAAAAUUCGGGUUAAUUUGGGUCAAUUUUGGGGAUUUCGUCUAAUGAGGGGUAAUUUUGGUGAAAAAACUAACAGGAGGAGUAAAUUUAACUUCAUUUUAACGGCGAGGGUAAAGUCAAACAAUAAACCAAAGUUGAGGGGUAUUUUUGACCCUUUUCCCUAUUUUUUUAAAAGUGAAAUAUUUCUAUGAAAUUCUAUGCCAAAUGCAUGUAAAAUUUUACCCAAAAAUGACUUGCUAAAAAUAUUUAAAAAUUUAUGGCCAACCGCUAGCUAGCUGAGUCAUGUCCUCAUCUAAUCACGAUACCACAUAAAUUGAGAUAGAAGAAAUAAAAAAAUAAAUUAAUUGGUGUUAUUUUUUAUUUUUUUAAAAAAAAGCUGUAAAGGAGGGAGUACUGUAGUAGAAAGCUCUUUAUUCAUUGUGGCUUGUGCGCUGUCUGCGUGAGUGAGUGGUCUCUGUCGGGUAGCUGUAUAAUAAAUUGUACUCUCCAUUUCACUUUCCUCUUUUUUCUCCCUCAAAUCCCUACACCCCUAACCCUCCCCAACCCAAAAUGGCCUGAAUUCUCCGGCGUGAUUUGCCGCCGACACCUCUUCUUCGCCUAUCGCCGCCUCCGCCGCCUCCGCCGAUCGUGUAAGUUCACUCUGAAAUUCUGUUUAAUUAGCUUUGUUGCCUUCGUUACUGUCACUCAGUACCUUCAGAUCAAGUGUUUAUCGUCUACAAUUAACUAGUAGAGUUUUACUUUUUAUCAGUAGUUGUGAAGUUUGCUUUUUUGAAUGCUCGUUGGAGCUGAGUUUUUUUUUGGAUUUUAGUAGUUGAUCUUUUUAUUUUGUCAGUGUAUUUUGUCGAUCGUCAGUAUAACUACUGGCGUUUACUUGAGCUUCAGUGAAAUUAUACUCCGUCUAUUGACGAGUAUGUUGCUGCCGGCUCUGUUUCGCCGGCUCUCUAAUUUUUUUUAUUUUUAUUAAUAAAUAAAUUAUUUGAGAAUUGAUGCAAGUAUUUUGUGUUUUUAUAUACUCGUAGCUCUUUUAGUAACGUGACAUUUUUUUUGAGAAAGUUAUAAAUUUUUUUUUUUGAGAAAAGUAACGUGACAUUUUGACAAUGCAUUCUAUGGAGUAUUAUUUUUCUACAUCUGUUGAUCCUGAAUUUCGAGUUACCUGUUGUUUCUACGGGUAAAUGGCACAUUUACGUUUACUUAGUAGUUGUUGGCCUAAUUUAGGAGUUUUACUGAAUUAGGACGUCAAAGAAAUGAUCAUUAUGUUUCUUCUCAUACCAAAUGGAUAGGAAAAAUAAUCAAAUGUGGCAAGAUUUACAGUGUUUGGCAUAGUUUUUGCUUUUCUACUGCAUGCAUGCCUUUAGUGAACAAGCAAUAAGAUUUUAAAAAAAAAUAUCAAGUACAAUGAGCUAAGUGAAUUAGUCUUUUAUGAUAACUUUGACAUGGUCAUAUAAGAUACAAAAGAGAUCACAACUUACUAGUAUUAUCAGUCGCAACUACGGGAUUGACCAGCUUAACCUUAACACAGUAUGUUAUAAUUCACUAAUCACUAUAUACAGAUUGAAAAUAAUGAGGUCCUGGGUUGCAAAGUCUUGCAAGUAAUCAAAAUUAAACCGCUUUCUGUUUUAAUCGCCAAAUACUCUCACCCCUUACCCCAAAAUAACUUUUUUCCCUCUCUGUUUUUGGGUCUGCCAUUUUCUCUCUUUUUGGCUAUAGGUGAAGAACCUGUAACUAUGAUCUAUUUUGGGUUCUCAGCAACUCUUUCAAAAAGAGUAGCAGGUAUUUUGUACUGGGAAAGGCUUUAUUAGCAUUGGUAAUGUGAAAUUAGUUUAGGAGCAUUUAUGACCAACUCUGACAUACUUUAUAAAAAGAGAAGUUGAAGGAUUAGAAGAAAAAUUUAGGUAUUCAGAUUCUUAAAACAAAUUUUAAUUAGGCUUGUCUUCGAACUAGUAGCUGUGUAAUAUGUAUGACCUCUUUCAAUAAUCUGUCUACAAAUAAUUAUGUAACAUCAUAAAUAUCUAACAUUAAAACUUCUGAAUUUUAUUUGACAAAGGUAUGAGCAUUUUGUUGCUUUAUCACAAUUAUCUCAAAAGCAUUUAUUGAAAUUUCAAUAGUUUAUCAGGGAAUUUCGCCAUGGAAGAUACACAAUCAGUUGCAACAUUGAUGGACUCCACAACAUCUAAGAUACAGCAACUACAGAAAGCAUUCGCUGAGUUGGAAAGUCACCGUGCUGUUACUCUCAACCUGCAGUGGAAGCAACUUGAAGAGCACUUUAAUGGGCUUCAGAAGUCCUUGAAGAGGCGUUUCACUGAACUGGAAGACCAAGAGAAGGAGUUUGAGACAAAAAUUGUUCAAUCUACAGAGAUAUUGGAGAAGCGUCAAGCAGCUGUUAUUGCUACAGAGCAAGCUUCUCUUCAGAGGCUCCAGGAGAAAAGAGAUGCAGCAGUUUCUGCCAUUUCAAUUGCUUUGGAGAAGCAUAGGAACCCUUGUUCUGUGGAACCAACUGUCAUUAAUUGUGAAGUUCAAGACGAGCCAUCUGUUCUGGAAGAGAAACCCGAUAAUGUAACAGAGAUUGGGCAUGUUACAGGGGAUACAUGGAAAUCUUUUCAGGAUGGUGUUGUGGAAGUUAAGUCUUAUCCAGAGCUAGUGAAUCUAUGCCGAAAUAUGGAUUCUGAAGGUCUGCACAAAUUCAUAUCAGACAACCGUAAAAACCUGGCAGCACUCAGGGAGGAGAUUCCAUUUGCUUUAAGAGCAUCAACCAAUCCUGCCUCUCUGGUUCUGGAUUCACUGAAUGGGUUUUACAACUCUGAUGUGUCUAUUUCUGAUGCUAAAAAAGAUGCUAAUCUUUUGGGACUGCGACGAACUUGUAUUAUGUUGCUGGAAUGCCUCAGUACUUUAUUGAACACCCUGGAUAUAGAUUCCAUUUUAAGUAUAAUAUCAGAAAAUAUAAGAGGACGUGCAAAAGCUAUUGCUGAAGAGUGGAAUCCGAAGUUGGAUGAACUUGACGUUGAUGCAAAUAAUGGAAAUUCUUUGGAGGCUCAUGCAUUCUUACAGCUACUUGCUACUUUUAGUAUUAGUUCCAACUUUAACCAGGAGAACUUAUCCAAGCUGAUACCCAUGGUUUCACGUCGUCGCCAAACAGCUGAUCUCUGUCGUUCCCUUGGAUUAUCUGACAGAAUGCCAGGUUGGUUUCCAUAACUUGUAGAAUUAACUGUUCAAGGUUUUUUUCUACAUUUUCUAUUUUUUACAAGUUCUUAAGGCCUCUUUAUUGUUUCUCCCCUUGAUUUUUCAAAGAGUAAUCUUAUGAUGGUUCAAAAAUAGUUAUAUCAUGGUAAAAAUUACAGAAUGCAGUGUUCUCAUCUAGCUUGUUGAAAGUCUUAAUUCAUUUGGAGUCUAGAUAUUUAAUAACUUAAUUUGAUACGAAUGGAGAACUUUAAAAAUAGGAAGUAACAUAUAAUGCUAGAACGAUAAAGCGAUUUGAAGCACAUAAGCAAAUUCACCAGACACUUGACUGCAAAGGAAUACAUCACAUCUUUGAUAUUUCCCUUUUUUUGUGCUUUUUACUUAUAUACAUUGACGGUGUAAAACAUUUUAAACUUGUUAGCUAGUUGCUUACCUUCUUUUCUAGGUUACUGAUCCAUACUUAAGUAUAAAUGGUUGCACAUAAUUGUUUUUUUAGAGAACUGACAUUGUGAAGAUACUUUACUUGUCAGUGCAGUCUUACUUAUCAAAAAAAUAAGCUAAAGCUUCAUUUCUCUUAUCUGCUUGAAUGGUUUGCUGCUUGCUCUAUACAGGUGUUAUUGAUGUGUUGAUAAACAAUGGAAGACAUAUAGAUGCUGUUAAUCUAGCUUUUGCAUUUGAGCUGACAGAGCAGUUUCCGCCUGUUUCUCUAUUGAAAUCCUACUUGAAUGAAGCUAGCAAAGCAUCUACACUUCUCAAUUCUGGAAAUGCAUCACCUACUGUGCAGGUUUGUUCCUUGUGCGUUGGUAUAAUUUGGACUUGACAUUUUUCUUUUUAUCAUAUUGCUUUCCAAAUGAAGCCUGUUCAGUGUUUACUGUUGUGUCAUGGUCCAUAUAUAAAAACCUCUUUUUCCUCCUGUUCCUUUGGGGCGUGCAAUUGUGUAUGUAGAACUUUUCAUUAGCGGUGUCACAAUUUAAAAAGUGAACAUAUUGUAAAAAUAUCAUUUCGGAAACACAAAAAUGUGCAUAAUUUGCACCUUAUCAGAGGAGGAUGAGUACAUUUUUUUAAAAAUUACUAUCAUUUUAAGUUUGUUGAAACUAUUUUUUUGCAUAUCAUAUGAGAAUGAUUUUUCAUUCAAGGGAUCGUUAAUAAUUAGAUCUCAUGGAUUUACUCAAGUCUUUACAGUAUAAAAGGCCAGGGGUUUAAUACCUCCCGACUCUAUUUCCUCUAUUGCCAAAAAGGCACAAAAUUUAGGGCAUUACACUACAUGAGGAUCGAAUACUCGACCUCGGUCGAACAAGGAAGCACCUAAAUACUAAUCCAUUCCAGGCUUGCUGUAAAGGGGUGUAAUUUUUAUUUUAUCUAGUCAUUUGGAAUAAUUAAUUGUUUUUUCUCCAGAAUGAUGUCAAUGAGAAAGAGUUGUCUGCACUAAAGGCUGUAUUAAAAUGCAUUGAAGACCAUAAGCUUGAGGAGCAAUACCUUGUGGAUCCCCUUCAGAAAAGGGUUCAUCAGCUGGAGAAAGUGAAGGCCGACAAGAAAAAGGCAACUGAAGUUGCAAAACCUCAAUCCAAAAGACCUCGUCCCAAUGGUGUCGGAAAUGGCCCCCGAGUAAAUAAUGUCGUCACUGAGAAGAACUUCUAUCCAAGAAUGACUGAUAGGUACCCGCAGCCCGUUUAUGACAGACCAUAUGCUUACCCUGGACCGACCAGCACCCACGUUCCAUCAUUCAUGGGUGCUCCUGCUUACAACUUCUCUCCUGGCCACGACUUUUUUGGAAAUGGCUACCAUUACCAGGCUCCUUACCUGCACUGAUAAGGAAACUUUGAUGAUUAUCCCUUUUAACUAUUAGUGUUUAACCUUGGAGUUUGCUUAAUUUGCUCGUGUGGGCGAAUUUAAUACUGAAUGUAGCCUACUUGUCUGUUUCUAAUCUGGUGUAAAAGCUGAUAUUUUAAUCUUUGAAUAUAUGCACUGUGUUUCAUGUUUAUAUCCAUUAAUCUCGUGUUUAACGUUUAUUUCGUGAUGCUACUGGAAAUUAUAUAUAAAUUAGUUUGUCUACUUGCUAGUGUGUACCAAUUCAGGGAAACAAAGAAAUGUCGAACUUGUUCUCGUCCCGGUAAAACGAGCCACCCGUGAUAGUCAGAUCGGUUUGAUUAUCAUUAGUAAAAGCUAGCUUUGUAAGCUAAGCAAGCAGGGCGCUAUGCUUGGUCGUAGAUCGAUCAUGAUGUGAAUGACUUUUUUGUAAUGUAAUGUAAAUGUAAUAGAAGAGAUGGAAUUCAAUUAUCAAUGCCUCUCCAUUUUCAACAAAGGUGAUAUGAGUUCCCGACUUCAUUUGUUUGUGCCCUUCUGGUGCGAGGAUUAAAUUCAUUUACUAAUUAUGGGUUAUUAUUUGUAAUAAUCUUCAAGUGAUUUUGAAAUGUAAAAAUUGGAUUCUUAACAUGAAAAAUUUAAAACUUACAAAAAUGAAAAAGAAUAAAGGUCCAUAAUAAUCAUGUAGUGUUGAUCAUCCAUUCUUAACCAAUGAGGUAUGGAUAAGGGAUAACGUUUUAUUAUUUUAUAACCAAUCACAAGCUCCCACGUAAGAGUCAUCCACCUUCAGAACCACAAAUUUUGUCUGCCAGCAAAAAAUUUAAAAAAUCCUCAUGUUCAUGUUUGAAACUUAGUUAUAUUCCUGUCUGACUUAAGUGUCAAUAUUUGCAAAAUGGCUACUGCAGCUUCCACCAUGGCUAGCCAGUUGAAUAGCAGCUUUGCUUCGUCUUUAACCAGAGGUCACGGCCUUGUUACUCCUAAAGGCAUUUCUGGUGCACCUUUCAAGAUUUUCCCUUCAACAAGAAAGUCUUGCUUCACCGUUAAGGCUGUCCAAGCUGAUAAAGUAAGAUACCAAAUCACCACUUUUCUUACUAUCAUGUUCUUGAUUUUCAAUAUUUUCUUUGUGUUUUUCGAAAAUCAGAAAUUCUAACUAGGAGAUUCAGAAAAUGAUAAAAUGUCACAUAUGAAAUCCAAACAUAUACAAUUUCAGAUUUUUUUAUGCUUAAUUAUAAGUUAAAUAUCAAGUAUUCCGGCUAUAUGCACAAUAUAAUUUUUCUAUAAAGUAGAUUCAAUUGAAACCCUUUUAAACCACGUAGCUCCACCCCUUUUGCAUCUUAUAAGUUUCCUAAUUAUAAUUUUUGGUGGGAAAAAUGUUGCUAGUGAGAUUCAAACACAUGAGCACUUACGGCUCUUUCAAGACAUCUAAAAUCACUAGGCUACAACACUUUUUUUUGUCAAGGGUGUCUAAAAUAUGUUAUUUAAUCACUUCGUAUAUCAUUUUACUUAUAUAUACGGUAUUAUUUCCCGACGAAGGGUGUCAAGUAGCUACGCCCCUGCCACCAUGCAUGAUACAAUUUUUCAACAAUAGAAUUCAAUUGAACCCUCUUCGAAUCAUGUAUAUGUGCCAGACUUUGCUUAAUUGACUCCCAAUAAUUUUAACUAAUUCAUGUCCUGAUCUUCUUUGGUUCUGCAGCCUACUUUCCAAGUGAUUCAACCUCUAAAUGGUGACCCUUUCAUUGGAAGUCUUGAAACUCCAGUAACCUCAAGCCCAUUGAUUGCAUGGUACCUCUCCAACUUGCCUGCCUACCGGACCGCGGUGAACCCGCUUCUCCGGGGAGUUGAAGUGGGCCUGGCCCAUGGAUUCUUACUAGUUGGGCCUUUUGUAAAGGCUGGUCCAUUAAGAAACACAGCUUAUGCAGGUAAAGCCCAAUUCCUAGUUUCAAUUUUUACACAUAGAGUUUGAGUUCUAUAUGCUGUUAACUAACAUGUUACUACAAGUAGGGGCGGAAGGGGAUUCGUCUGAACCUCCUUUGUCGGAAAAUUACACUUUAUAUAUAAGGUCAAUUUUUUUUUAUGUAUAUAAAAUAGAUGAUGAACCCGACCCAUUGUAUGCAGGGGGAGCUGGUUCAUUGGCAGCAGCAGGACUUGUAGUGAUCCUUAGCAUGUGUUUGACAAUUUAUGGAAUUUCAUCAUUCAAAGAAGGAGAUCCAUCAACAGCACCAGCAUUAACAUUAACUGGUAGGAAAAAAGUACCAGAUCAAUUGCAAACUGCAGAUGGAUGGGCUAAAUUCACUGGUGGAUUCUUUUUUGGUGGAAUUUCUGGUGUCACCUGGGCUUAUUUCCUCCUUUAUGUCCUUGAUCUUCCUUACUUUGUUAAGUAAAUUUCUGUACUAUUAUGAAUGUUAAAUUGGAUAUAUCAAAGUUGUAUAUCGAACCGCUGAUCUCUUGGAGAAGUGUAAUGAAUGUUUACUUUAAACGCUAGCAUAUCCGCACAUUUCGUUCUUGAUUCUAAUUCUUGCCUCCGGCUCUAGUGUAGUGGUAAUCGCGCAAUGCAUAAUGUGUGUAAUGUGUUGGGUGCAUGUCACGGCUAAUCUUGAGCUAGUCUUGGUUAUAUAAAAAAGAAAAAAAAGUGAUUUCUAGUACUCAAGGGCGUGAUCUAGUGGUCAAUGAAGUGGUUGAGAGUCAUGAGGUUUCAGGUUCAAAUCUAAGGUGAUUCUUUCCAUCUAGUUGAGGUGUGCGAAAGUUCGUCCAGACAUCAUGGUUAUCAAAAAAGAAGAAGUUGGUUUCUCCAAAUCAACCAGUUCAAGUUGGAUUGUUUAAUCUAAAGACUAAAUGGGUUGCUGUUUACGAAAUACAAAUUUGGCUUGAAAUUGGUUUAUAUGCAUGUCAAAAAUGGAAUCAAAUAUAAGAAACAUGUCUUACAUAUAAAUUGUUUUAAUUUAAUCAACGGAAAAUGAUCACCUUCGAACUAUUGGAAAUAAAAUAUCAUCCAUUUGGUUUUUGGUUAAAACAUGCCUCAAAUAUUAGAAACAGAACAAAAAUGCAUUAGCAAACUGGUCCAACUAUGCUCCUAUCCCGUUAAGGGGAAGGCAUGGGAGCCAAAACGCCUUACAAGGCGUGAUUCUCACACGCGUUUCAAUAAAAAAGUUAACACCCUUUACUAUAAGGCGUGUGAGGGGUCACGCCUUUUACCUGUUUCGAUUUUGUUAGGAAUUUUUGAUGAAAAAUAUUGUCCUUCAGGCUCUGGACUCUACAAAAUUGCUAAAGUGACAACAACAUUGAUUCUCAUGUUAACAAAAAUUAUUCGACUAUCAGCUGAAUUGUGCAACUCAACUAUUAACGAUACCAAAAGUACUUAAUCCCUUUUCAAUUUAAUUUGUGUUUCUUAAUGUAAAAUUAAUUAGUCAAUUUGGUGUAAAUAGGGACUUUUUUUUAUGACAAGGAAACCCAUCGCCACAUAGGGUAAAACCCCUUACUCCUAUGCAAUAGCUCACAAACCACACACAAGAGAGGUAGCCCGCAGUAGAUAAGUCUGGUGCGACGAAUUCGAUCCAAAAGGCAAACCCCUUACUUUCGUUGGGAAGGAGUUUCGAACUUGAAACCUUCAGCAUGAAAGUUCCAAGUCCAAACCACUAGGCCAUCCCGAAGGGUGUAAACAUGGACUUUCUUUCCCUGUUCUUUUUACAAAAAUCAAGUUAGCUAUGAAUGAUCCAUUCGUGACCAAUGCAGUUCGGAUAAGAGAUAAUGUUUCAAAACUAACCAAUAAGAAGCUCCCACGUAAGAGUUUCAUCCACCCUAAGAACCACCAAUCUGUAAACCCAAAAGAUUUUCUUUGCCAGUCAUUAACAAGACUUGUCUGCAUCUUUUGUUAUAUUCUAACUAACUGAUCAAACAAACAGAGCCAAACAAUAUUUUCCAAAAUGGCUACUGCAGCAUCCACAAUGGCUAGCCCGUUGAAGAGCAGCUUUGCUUCGUCUUUAACCAGAGGUCACGGCCUUGUUACUCCCAAAGGCAUUUCUGGUGCACCUUUUAAGAUUUUCCCUUCAACAAGAAAGUCUUGCUUCACCGUCAAGGCUGUCCAAGCUGAUAAAGUAAGAUAACUAAUCACCACUUUUCUUAUUAUCAUGUUCUUGAAUUUGACAACUUUUUUUUGAGAUAAAUUAUAAUAUUCAGAUCAGUUUGUACAUGCCUCAACUAACUCAGCCGGGAGUCGAAUCAGUAAAUUUUAUAUUUGUGUCAAAUAGAUUCACUUAAUAUGUUCAAUAAUCUAUUCAGAACCUAGUAACCAAAAUACUAAGUUAUUGUUUAGAUCCCAUAAAUUUAAAAUCUGUGAUGUAUCGAGUAAUUCUGUCCACUGAGGCUAGGACAAAUGGGAAAAGAUCACCUAUAGUUUGGAUUUCUGUAUGUUUUCUUUAGAUAAGCGGCGGAGCUUAAAAUUAUUUAAAUGCCACACCUAGAUUUCAAACUAGCAAUGUAAAAUCAAGUUUCGAGAGUAUGCCUUAAUCUAAUAGGCGGCAUAGAGUUUCUAAGUGAAGGAACUAUACAUGGAACUAGCUUUUUCUAAUCACCUUUUGCCAUUACAUAAAAAGUUUCUCUUGUGUAGAGAAAAUUCAGUAAUUUAAUUCUUUGGCUAUUGACAGGGCAAGGAAUCUGAAAGGGGAUUUGAAAAAAAUACUCAAAUGCCAUACCUAAAGUUCAUCUUAUAAGAAAAAAAUUUCUAACAAAAUGUAAAUUUUGGUUUGUUGGAUCUGAUUAUUACUCAAUAACUGUCCUUUGCUUUGUGUUGUUUUUCUUGAUUCUGCAGCCAACUUUCCAAGUGAUUCAGCCCCUUAAUGGUGACCCUUUCAUUGGAAGUCUUGAAACUCCAGUCACCUCAAGUCCAUUGAUUGCAUGGUACCUCUCCAACUUGCCUGCCUACCGGACCGCGGUGAACCCACUUCUCCGGGGAGUAGAAGUGGGCCUGGCCCAUGGAUUCUUACUAGUUGGCCCAUUCGUAAAGGCUGGCCCAUUAAGAAACACAGAGUAUGCAGGUAAAGUCAGACUUUAGAAUUUUAACUUGAUGAGUUUAAUCUUUAUAACUCACGGUUGAUUCACACCAUAGAUGUCCCUAGUUUUUAAGAGUUGUGCAAAUAGACAAAACAUUAAACUGUCAUCUAAACAUCUACAAAAUUUCAGACCAUGGUCUAAAAGGGUCAUUAUUUCGAAAUGUAUGUAUCUAAGUUCUGUGACGAAAAUAUUGUUACUAUUAUUGCAGGGGGAGCUGGUUCUUUGGCAGCAGCAGGACUUGUUGUGAUCCUUAGUAUGUGUUUGACAAUUUAUGGAAUUUCAUCAUUCAAAGAAGGAGAUCCAUCAACAGCACCAGCAUUGACAUUGACUGGCAGGAAAAAAGUGCCAGAUCAAUUGCAAACUGCAGAUGGAUGGGCUAAAUUCACUGGUGGAUUCUUUUUUGGUGGAAUUUCUGGUGUCACUUGGGCUUAUUUCCUCCUAUAUGUUCUUGAUCUUCCUUACUUUGUUAAGUAAAUUUCUUUAAUUGAUGUAACUAUUUUGAAUGUUAAAUUGGAUAUGAAAGAUGUAUAUUGAACUACUAAGCUCUUGGAGGAGUGCAAUUUAACUCGUUGUAAUGAGUUACUUGUCUUAUUCUUUAUAACUUGUAGUUAUCUUUAGUGACCUUUUAAAUGACUUGACUGUAUAUAAAAUUCUUACAUUUUUCAAGUCUAUGACUCUGAGUCGAAGAAACCGAGAUGAUUGGGCACAUGCUAGAAUAAUCUUUUAAAAGGGAAUCAUAUAACUAAAAGAAUAUUUGUAAAGAACGAUUGAACUCGUAAAAAAUGCAGAUGUCUUACCUUUUCUUUAGAAUAUUAUCUUUAAUUGUAACUCACUCUAUUUAAAUUUUAUCAAAGCCUUUUUCAAGUAAGCAAAUUAAUCCAAAUACGAAAAAUGAACAGUUCAACAAAAUAUUUCUCUCUCUCUCCAUGCAAAUCAUGCAUUAAAAUACUUUACCUCCAAAUUGAGGAUACACAUAACACAUGUAUAAAACCUCAGGGCCUGUAGAUUACUUUUUUCAGUCAUUGUAAACAUUCCUAGAAAACAAAUACAUAACUACUCAUUUCAGCUUUAGAGCACAGCCAUGGCACCUUCAGGGUAUGUAGAUUACAUUUUAAAGUUAUUGUAAAGAAUAUUUAUAUGAAUUAUGUUGCUUAUAAAGCAAGUGCAAGAUAUAUUUAUGACAAAUAUUUACUGGUAAUCAAUAAAAAUCGCGAGUUUCUCACGCUAUAAUCAGUUAAAUUGGAGUGAUAGAACUGAUAGUAUAUGUAUAGUUUGAAUCCUUUGUUUUUUAGGCAUUUUAAUGUGUUAGCUUACUGGUUAUGUACAUGUUUAGAAUGGUUGGCUGGCUUUGUUUUGAAUUGUUACGAAAUUUUAUAGUUGGUAAAAGACAUAACCUAAAUGUAUAAUCCAGAGAAUUUUAGUAACUCAGUUGGUUGGCUACUUGAACUUUCACCUUGUUGGUGAGGGAAUUCCCUCCCUGAUUUCCCCUUCCGCUACCCCUAAUUUUUUGUUCAUUUUAAAAAAAAAACUAUAUGUAUAAUCUUGCUUUUGCCAUUUGCCAGAAACUCAGGCAGCAGUGGCAAGCACAGUGUAGUCGUGACAGCUCUAGACGGAGUCAUAAAUGUGAACUCACUCUUUACCAUUGCCAUUUUUGUGGGACUGUCUCUUGCAUCUCCAGGGCAAAAGAGCCUCAACAGUAGCGAACGUUGUCAGCCAGGGAUUCUAACAGUAAAGCAACUAGUAAUCUUCGAGGUGCUUUCGUUCAGUUUCUUUCUCUUCUCAUCACUAGUAGCACAGGCCAUAAAACUCUCCCUCAAUCUUCUCUAUAGCGAAGAUCUGUCUCAUGAUUUCAGUGUUAUUGUCAAUGGAACACUCCUUAGAGCAGGAAUGUUGAUGACAGCCAUUUCCUCUGUUAUGGGGUGCUUGUUUCUUAUGGUUUCUAUGUUGAAUGUGAUUGAGAUCAAGACUGGGAUGCUAAUCUGUGGAGCUAAAUCUACUAUUAUAUCAGUUACUUUCCUCAUAAUCCUCGUUUCUUCUGGUCUUUUGGUGUAUAUUUCUGCUGCAUGGUAUGCAUUUAUCCACGCAAACGUUCACCCCCAUGAAAACAGGACUUCUUGAUUUGCCAAGCUCUCUAGUUCUAUCAAAUCCUAUUUUGUUGUCCAAUAACAGCGGUGUCUGGAUUAGUUUGUGUGCACUUCAACAAUUCUAUCUAACAAACCUUUGCUACCUCACAGAGCUUCAUAUCUUGUUUUUCAUCUUUGGUCCAGUACGUCAAAUUUUCGGCUAAGUAUAGACCCUUUGUAAGGGGACCUAUUAUUUCAAUCUUUUGUAAUUGUUUAGGUGAUGGACAGGAAAGUCCACUUUCCUUCUUGUUAAGAUAUUUAAUAUAUAUAGUUAAUUUAUCACAUCAAUGUAUAGUGCAGUGAUUUUUAAGUAAUACAAUAACAACAUACCUAGUGAAAUCCCACAAGUGAGGUCUAGAGAGGCAAGCACGGUGUACCAGACCUUACCACUAAGGGUGUUCACGGUUUGGUUUGGGUCGGUUAUUGGUCAAAACCAAAACCAAACCAACUUAAUCGGUUCUAAAAUUAUCAAAACCAAACCAAACCAAACCAAAUAUAAUAUACAUUUAUCGGUUUGGUUGUUUUCGGUUUUGGUUUGGUUUGGCUCGGUUAUUCGGUUUUUUAACCAUACAUAAAAAUAAAAGAAACAAUUCAUUCAAAACGUGAAAAAAGUGACAACAAUCCAUUCAAACAAAAAAAUAGUUAGAAUGACUGGCAUUACAGAACUUUCGAUCAUUGAAUUUACUGAAUAAAACUUCAAAAUUCACUAUUUUGGCAUUGAAGGAAGAGACAAUGAUAUUUUUAGUCUCACAAAAAAUUUUCAUACACUCAUAUACAUGAAACCAAUAAGAAAAAUGUUCUCACCUUGGACAUUUUUUCUUUCAUAAGUAAAUUAUAAAUAAAUUUUGAUGAAACAUAUAUAAAAUCUUUAAAAUUGUUUAUGAAUAUAAUAUAUUAUGUAUGUAUAAUAAUAAAAUUUAUGUAUAUAGCUUGUUGGUUCGGUUCGGUUAUUUCUUCGAUUUUUUUCGAACAAAAUCAUAACCAAACCAAAUACUAUCGGUUCUUAACAAUCUAAAACCAAACCAAACCAAAACGCAAAUUAAAUCGGUUUGGUUUGAUUUUUCGAUUUGGAUUGGUUUUUAUCCAAACCAUGAACACCCCUACUUACCACUAUCUCGUGGAGUUAGAGAGGCUGUUUUAAGUAAUAAUCUUCAGAUUUUAUUUGUUGUUGCAAGUUGUGGAAAUGCAGAAUUUUAUUUUGGCAUCAUGACAUUUUUUUAUCUUUACUUUCAUGCAACCUGGUAGUGUUAGUAUACAAGACGCUGAACUAAGAAACAUAGACGGAGAACAUAGAUAUCUCAAAAUGUAUAAAUUCGGAGAAUUUUAGUAGCUCAAUUGGUUGGCUAAACUUUUAUCUUGUUGAUAUAGACGGAGAACAUAGAUAUCUCAAAAUGUAUAAAUCCGGAGAAUUUAAGUAGCUCAGUUGGUUGGGUAAACUUUCAUCUGGUUGGUCCCUCCCAGCAACUGUUGCUUAAAAAAAAAACCGCCGCUGCCGGGGAUCGAACCCGGGUCACCCGCGUGACAGGCGGGAAUACUUACCACUAUACUACAACGACUUUGUUGGCUAUAUAUUUUGUACGAUGAAAGAUAUUAUUAUUUAAUAGUAAUAGAUUGGGAAUGAAUGGUGCUGGAUUGCCCAUCCUUUUUAUUUAAAUUGGUAAGAAGAAAGGAAAACAAAUAUAGAGAAGAAGAUAUCCAGGAUGGCUGCAACUCCCAACAUUUACACCCAAAAGUUCCCAACAAUUACAACUCAAAAUUACAUAGCCUCCAAUAUAUCUUGUUUUAUAAGUUUCCGAAAACAGAGCAGAAAAUUGGUUUUAAUAGUUGGAAACUCCAGUAGCAGCGACACAGCCUCAGCAAUAGGCACAGAUGAAACCUCACCUGUUGAAAUUGCCCCUUCUAUUAUCUCUGCUCUUAAUGUUGAAAAAGCUCUUCUUGGCAUAGGUGCUUUCUUCCAUUUCAUUUAUUUUUACAAUUCACUUUUCUUAUCACUGCAAAAGUGUAUUGAAAUUAAACUUUGUUUUCGAACAUUUUAAAUUUGAUUUGUUCAUCUUAAUAACUAUGAUUUUUAUUUUAUUUUUGUCCUUCAUUUGACUAAUAAGUUACAUUUUAGAAUGCAGCAAUAACAGAUAUAGAUCACUAUGGAAUACUAGGACUUUCAAGAAAAUGUUCAUAUGCUGAGGUCCACACAAAAACAUCUCUUUAAUUUUGUUUUUCUCUCUUUUUCACCCAUUAAUUAAUCAGAUAAAAAAGAAAAGAAUAAUUUGUUCUUAAUGUUUGACUUGUAUUCGUACAAUAUAUAUAGGUUCCAGUAGCGUACAAGAAAAAAGUUGAAGAAAUUAUGAAUGAGGGAUUGGUAGAAGAAGAGCUUAACAAGAAGCUUCAACUCCUAAAAGUAUUAAUUUCAUCUCAUUUUUUCUUAUUAAUAGACAAAGUUUUAGAGAUUAAUUUUUCUUUUGACAUAUAUAGGAAUCAUAUUCAAUUUUGUCAACACCAGAGGAGAGAAGGUUGUAUGAUUGGAGUUUGGUAAGGAGUGAAGCACCGGAUGAUUACAAAUGGCCAUUUGAGGUUGAUCCAACUCCGCCCUCUACGGGGACUCCUCCUCCUCAGGUACUGCUUUUUUCCCCAUCACUUAAUUAAUACUCCCUCCGUCUCACAAAUAAUGAUUUAGUUUAACUUGACACGAAAUUUAAAAAAAUAAAGAAGACUUUUGAAUCUUGUGGUCUUAAAUUAAAGUUAUGUCAAAUGUACAAAAUUACCUUUUAAUUUUGUGGCCUUAAACAUGCUACGUGGAAAGCUGAAAUUAAAAUGUUACCAAAAAAAGAAAUAGAUCAUUUUUUUUUGAAACAGAAUAAAAAGGAAAGAAAGUCAUUCUUUUUUAAAUGGAGGGAGUAAUUAUUAUAUCAAAACAUCACUUUGAAAUUAUUUUUAAAAAAAAGAGUCUAUUGGGAUAAUAUUUUCUUGGUUACUUACCAAACACUAGAAAAUAAGUAAGAUAACAUUUUCACCAAGCAUACUGUAAGUUAAUUAUUCCUUCAGUUAGACCAGAAAAUGAUUAUAACUUGAGUUAUCAAUAAUACUUUACGUUUUUUAAUUGUAUAAAAACAUAAUUACAGGAGCCAGAAGAUGUGGAACCAACAAUAUUAGUGGGAUAUUUCUUUUUAGGUUGGUUUGUACUAGCUGCCGUGUUAUCAAUUGCCCUUAAUCUCUAGAAAGAAAAUUAUAUAUGUUUAUCAUAUAAUAAGAUAUUCAUUUUCGUGUAACAUAUAUACACUUAAACCUUCAAUUGUUGCAUUUUUAUGAAAUUCUAUGUAAAUUUACCUUUUUUCUUCCAACGCACACCAGGGGAUUUUUCACAUUCUCUUUCUCCAGGGGAGUUCUAAUCUUCCAAUUAGGAUCCCCUCAUUGUUAGUAGUUUUAAAUUUAUACCUAUAGCUUAGUAGAUGGACUUAAUAUUUGGAAUAAGGCGAGAACUAAGUAGUAUGCAAUUAUUUACUAGUAUUAACUAUUAACUACUUAUUUCCAAAGAAAAGUGAAAGUUUGGGGGGGAUUUGAACGAUUUGUAGUAUCAAACUAUCAAUUAAUAACAUGUAACUUUCAACAAGGUUAAUUUAAACUGAUAAUUUAUAGAAAGAGAAAUCAAGAUUGUAUUCACCAAAAGAUUGUAUGAAUUAUGUUGGGUAAAUAGAAAAUCCCAUCUGGUAAUGCUAGUAUAUCAGCUUAUCAAUCUUAUACUACAUUUAAUCGUUUCUGAACCAAAUUGAAUGCAUGCCACUUUUAUUCUUUCGAAAGUGUUACCUCAAAUCAGUGACAUUUACUCAAAGUUGGUUAAUCAUAGGCAAGCUUUUAUAUCUCAAAUCUUCGUUACUAGCUCUUUUCCUAUGUUUUGCACAUUAUAACUCAAAUAAGUAAAAUUAAAGAUUCUAAUGUUUGCAACCAUUAGAAAUCAGUUAAGAUGAAAGAACUUAUAAUGUAUACAAUCAUAAUACAUGUUUUAUUUCGUAAAUAUCCUUUGUUUAGGUCAAGUCGUCAUGGAUUUCAAAACCCGAGGUUUAGCCAGUCACGCAAACUCUUGAUAAAACUUGUUCAAGUGUACAUUGUUCUUCACUAUAAACCAAGAUGAUAGUAGUAUUUAUAGUCCUGGAAAAUUUGGAAUUUAAAAUAAAAAAGCUGGUCCAUUGCUGACAGCUCAUCACAAGUGUGACGAUCCGCCGCUUACACUAUCAUCCCUUAACAAUAACUUGAUUAGAAUCUAUAUUAAAGUAUUAGAUUGUUUUACAUAGCUUACAUUGGAAGCUCUCUUGUUAACUUAUGGCACCAAUGCAUAGUGCAGUGUGGAGUAAUCAUCAGAUUUUAUUUGUUGUUGCAGAAAUGCAGAAUUUAUUUUGGCAUCAUACCAGUAUUUUUCAAUCUUUUCUCCUUCUCCUUUCUUUCUAAACUAGCAGAAUCAUAGGACAUCAAAAGGGGUUCAUGCGACCUGGUAUACAAGAGGCUGAACUAAGAAAUAUAGACGUAGAACAUAGAUAUAGAAUGACAUAUUUCAGCAGGAAUGAGCAGAUUUCUAGAACAGAGAUAAUAUUCCAUUCCAGUAUUGUUUCUAAUGAAGACAAUUAAACUCAACAACCAUACAAAGAAAUAGAAUCGUGACAAUGUUAUUCAGUUGAGGCUUUUGGAUAUCAAUGUUUAGAAUCACCUCAGCGGGUCUUGGUCUUCUGCUCGUGGACGUUGACAGCAGCACAUAUUUUCUUCCAGCAGUGGAUCACUAUGAGACUUGGUAUCCAAACCCAGAAAUGAUUUGCAAAGACAUAGUAAGCGUAGUAAUAGAAGGGGCUUGUAGAAAAAUUGUCGCCUUCCAAGACAGCUGUUAUGAAGUAUAUAGCCGUGCCAUAGAGCUGCCCCAAACAAAUGGAUAGUUGAAGUACGUGCCUGUAUGCCUUCUUAGUAGCUAUAGCAUACCUGCCAAUGCCAAAAGAACAAUGAGGUCAAACUUGAAUACAUCUUCCUGCCCCGUCCAUAUACUUUUACUAAUAAAGGAUUUAGUCAAAAUGAUCCCAGCAUCAAAUCCCGCAUACAAUAUUUGGUGGAUAGAGUUACCUGGUACAUGUGGUACAUGAGCUACUGAGAGGUAGCAGGUACCACAUGAAAUUAGUAAAGAUGCAUGCAAGUUGACUCGACCACCACAGUUAUCCAAGAAAAACAAUCCGCAUAAUUAAAUGCAGCAUUUGGAUGGUUGUAUAAGAACAAAUAAUCCCCAAUAAUCUAAUGUAGUGUUUGGUUGGCGCUAUAAAAAAAAUACCGACAUUAAAUUACACGAGAAUUAACAUGUUAUUUUAUGCGGGAUAAAGUGUGGAAUAAGAACAGUGGAUUAGCAUUACGAGGAGAGAAAUACCCUUAAAAUAAGUAACUGUUACAUUAUAUUCCUUGUAUUAUUACUUUAUCAAAAUUAUAUUCCCUGUAUAUUAUUAUUAGUCAAGUUAUUCCUUGUAUAAUUAAUACUCACUGCAAUACAAUCCUUCAUUUUUAUUUCCCGCAUAACAUACGGUACAUAACAAGUCCAUGCAUAACUAGAAUGUGAACAAGCAACCCCUUAGGAUAAGCACAUUGAUUCUGACAGUCUCAAGGUGCAUGACAAGUUAAUAUCGCUUGAGAAUGAUACUUACACUGCAAGAAGGCAUGCUGGCCCCUCUAUGACAGCUGUGACCCCUUCAACACUGAGAACUGCAGCAUCUCGGCCUACGUAUCUUGAAUCACCUUUGCUGUAUUCUUUCCCUGCAAUAUAUUGUUUGUGUUGGUACUUUUAUAGGCCAAAUUAGAAACAUAUCCUAAUACAAAUGAACUGUUCUUGUUUGUAAGAAGACUUUGCUAAAUUGAGACUUACAGACUUCAGCAAGGUAAACAGGACUAGUCUUUUGGUAGAAAUCUGGAGUAAAAACGAAAUAUCCCUCAAGGACCAUGUGGGUUAGGCCCGUGAAAAUCCACCAGCACAUGAGCACCCUGUCAGUCUUUGAUAAUUUAGGAACAAACCCUAGCAAGGAAAAGAAGGAGAAAUGAAGUUAGAGAACAAAACAUGGCCACAAUGGAGAAUGAAAAAGAUGGACUUUGCAUAUAGAAAUUUAUAACACUAAUGCAGCUGAAAAUUAUGUAGUAUAGAACUAGAUAGAAAAGACCAACAUGAUAGUAAUUUAUGUCCUCAUUUAUCAUUCACUACUAAACUUUGAGUACAUGAAACUAACACUUAGGGGCUGCAUGAGCUUAAUUGAGAAGUGAAAUAAUUGUCAAGACUGCUUGAAGUCCUGACUGAGGCAUAGGAUAAGCUGUACAACUCGACGUUUUAGGGUUCAAUAUCUUCUUUAAUCCCAUUCACAAGUCAGUAAAGUUGUGGGUUGACAUUAACAUCAAACUAGAUUCUCUUUUUUAGGGUCAAGACUGCCUGCAAUUACAACAACAUACCCAUCGUAAUCCCACAAGUGGGAUAUGGGGAAGGUAGGAUGUAAGAAGACCUUAUCCCUAUUGUAGGGUAGAGAUGCCGAUUCGGAUAGACCCUCGGCUCAAAAGAAGUGUAAUCAGGAUUGAAAGGAAAAUAAUGACAGCAAAAUAGCAAGACUAACAAAGCAAAUGAAGCAAUAGGUAGUAGUAAAAAUGAAGAAUAAGAUACUAAGCGAAUUACUAUAUAAGGAGAAGAUGAGAAGAGGAGAAUAAAUCAGUCAUGCAAUAAUCAUUGAAUAAUUACCUGAGAAUAUCCACAUGAACACCACAACCAGUAAGGAUGAGAUGCCAUAUACACCAACAAUUUCUGACUGUGAGAGGAAUAGGGGAACAAAACCAGGCAAUUUUAGAUCAUGCGGAACGUAGGGGUGAGCUUCUCCCUGGCUUGCCAUUUUUUCUCAGUGCCUGACUUAAGGACCCUUUCCUGUGAUCUGCAAUUCACAGAAAGAACAAAGUCCAUACAUUAGAGAAGGUGUUACUCAAUGAGCUACUCCACAAUUUUCACAUUCCCAUCUAACUUCACUUGUAAGUAUAAGUUAUACUCUAAUUUGACGAUCUAUCAAAAAUCAGACGGAAACUACCCUACAGCUAUUAAACUUUUUUUAAGGAAUCGGGGCACAAAAGGCAAAUACAAGAAUCAUAGUGAAAUCAGUGGAAGUGAUCAAUCAACUACGCCUCAACUACAAAAUAGUUGGACUUGACUAUGUGAAACCAUUGUAUCCGUUCCAUUCUUUUCAACUGCAUAUUAUUCUGAUGAACAAGUCAAAUUAGGGAUUCUCCAAUGUGUAUGGUAAAGGAAGAAAACAAUUUCCUAGAAAGUAUUUCACUAAAGAAGUUAUUGGGCAACACUUCUCAUGGAAAAAAUACCAUAAAAAAGAUUCACCUAUGGCAUAAAUAAAAUCAUCUUUUAACAAAUAUCGCAACUCUUAAUCCACAUACUUGCUACAAACAACACUUGAACAUUAUUUUCAAUAAUUAAGAAAUUUCAUCAAAUUCCCAAAACAAAACAUAAUUUAAUUGUCACAAUUAUAACAUGUUUGGCCAAACUUCAAAAUAACUUAUUUUGAAAAGUGUUUUCCAAGAAAAGUACUUUUGGUGAGGAACAAUUUGUGUUUGGCUAAUAAAAUUAAAAAACAUUUUUGAGCAACAAUUAGUGUUUGACCAAGUCAUCAGUUACUCCUCAAAAACACUUAUUUUCUCCCAAAAGCUUGGCCAAACACUUCACUUUUUUCAAAUAAACACUUAUGGUCUCCCAAAAACAUGGUCAAACAAGCUAUUAACAUCAAUGCUUAAUUAAUAUUUUCCACUCACCAACCAAGCAUCUGAAAAACUUUUCGAGGAAAUAAUUUUCAAAACAUUUCCCUUAAUACCAAACACAACUAGGUCUCUAAAUCAGGAAAACUAAUGCUGGUUAAAAAUUAAAAAGAAUGAGUAAAGUUUUCAAAACCCAUAGAAUCUAAAGAUGAAAAUUAAGGUCAAAAUCUCUAAAAUCACAAUUCCCACACAAUGACAGAAAACUAGAUCCCUUUUUCACUUUCAAGCAAAUGUAAGCAUAAAACAGAAGUACAAACAAAACAGACUAGUAAUUACCCUAAAGGAUGAGACUUUCACACUUCUCAGUCACUUUUAUUCACAUAUGAACAUUAUAAUAACUAUUAAAUCCAAAAUUUACAUAAUUCCUGAAACAUGCAUAUAAAGACAUGAACUUUAGCAUCCCAUUUGGUUAAAUCAUUUAAAUAGCUCAAAAAAUCCAUUAAAAUACAGAAAAUUACAAAAGGGUAACUCUUAAGAAUUUUUCAGAUCAGUGAGAGUUGACUUACCGGCGAUGAAGAAGAAAAGGGAGAGAGUAGAGAAGCUGAGAGAGUAGAGCACUGAAAUACAAAUAAGUAAAGAUUUGGAGUCACGUGAGAAAGGCACGUGACUCUCACAGUUCUGUUUGGAUGGUAAUGGGAAAUAAUUUUCUUUAGAAAUUUUUUAUAAAUUAUUUUUCUUUUUUUAUGGAAAUUAAUUUUAUAACAUCAUCUUGUUAUAACCGCUAAAAAAAUAGUAUUUGAACAAAUAAAAUUGUUAUAAAGAAGUUCUGCUGUAUAGUUUAAAGUUAUAUUGUUGUGAAAGUAAGAGAAUGGUUGGUGGGACAAGGGAGUGCAUACAAAGCCGAUUUUGGGACCAUUAUUACUUAAUUCACUUUUUAUAUUCGAAAUUUAAGCCUCGUUUUUUCAAUUUUUGCAAAAAAAAUUAAAAUCGUAACUAAAAUAUCAACGACAAAUUCUAUCGAAUUCAAUAAUUUUGAUUACUAUAUUAAAAAUUAUUAAAAUUCAUAAAUUUUAAAUUCUUAUUUCUCAUUCUAAGUCUACUAUCUGUGUGAUUUCUUACUAAGCAAUGUGUUUUGUUUAUGAUUUUCAAUAUCUAAAAGAAAAGUGAUAUGUGUGGGCAUGAUUUUUUAGACAUGUGUUAUUAUCACAUAGUUCAAUUAUUAUGUCUUUUUGACCACCCAAAGGAACUAGUAUUCUGACACUGGGGUGCUGCAUGUUGCAAAUGUGAUGAUAAAUUUUUUUUUGUGCUUAAUAUAUAUAUAUAUAUAUAUAUAUAUAUAUCUAGAAAGGGGUGCUAGCAACGGUUCAUUAAUUAAUUUAACUCAAAGUCUUUAUAUUAUUUUAUAUGUAGAAACAUGCUCAUAAUUGUUUAGAGAACGGCUGGCUAGGGUUAGAGGAAUUGUCUACAAAGAUAUCUAAAUUGUGAAAUUAAAGUAUUCAUCUGUUAUGUGAAGAUUUUGAUGAUCAAUAAUUCGAAUCAUGAUUACUGAAGAUCAAGGAGAAGAAGAUUACCAUAAGUUUCAAAUAAAAUUCAAAUAUUUGGAAUCUAUGGUCAAAUGCCUACUUAGACAAUGGGUUGAUGCAAAUUAUGUAUAUUCGAUGUCAAAAAAUAUCAAAUUUGAAUCUACAAUUUCAAAAGUAAAGUCCUUUUAAGUGCUAACAAUCUUAAAGGUCGAACUCAUUAAGUUUGAAUCUUGAAUGUUGAAUCUGGCUCAGAUUCUAUUUCAUAUAAUAAGUGAUGCACUAAUAAUUCAACAAGAUCUCAAUACCUCAAAAUCAACACAAGGAUACAUUUUCGUAGAAAUGUUCUUGUGACAUACUAAACACAGUAAAGAAAAACAAAGAAAUGGCAGUCAUCAACUUCGUACUUCAUACAUUUCUGAGAAACUACAUAAACUACGCGUUUGAAGUAUGCAGUUUUAACCAAACCAUUGUAAUUUACUAUAGUCACGAAGUAAAUAUCAGAUAUGAGUAAGUUCUAUCUUGUGUAGACUCGUAAAGGUAAGAGUUCUGUAAAUGGCACCACACUAGGACUGCUCAAACUUAUGAACUUCCACUCUGGAUUAGGGAAGAAUCAACCCUUGGAAAAUAAUAAUCCUAUUGUCCAGGAGCCCCAGAAUGAAAUUGCUAAUGUUGUACUCGUCUUUGUUCAGCAAAACAACUUUGUCACGUGUGAUCCUCUACCACAAUGUGUCUGGGCUCUUGUUGAGGACAAGUUAACAGCUGCAACUGCACAUUUUCACCAUUUCAGUCCUAAGAGUUCUAUAGACAGGCGAGAAGGGAACCACCAUGAUGAACAUGGAUAAAGUUUGCUGCUUCUCGCCUGCUGCAAACUGUUGACUAUAACAGGCCCACCAUCCCUCUCACUUAACAAACCUCGCUUGGAACUUUUGCUAACGAAUAAACCACUUUCAUCUCUUCCGUUUCUUCAAAAGUGAUGCAGCUUGCAGAAUAAUCUUAUCAACCUCAUCAAGACCUGGUGUGUCGACAUCUUUACCUGGUGAUUUCUCUUUCCUCAAGUUAGAAGAUAUUUGACGCAAAUGCUCCUCGAAAUCCUGUUCAUCUCCAUUACUUUGCACUGGAAACUUUUCAAACACAUCCAAAUAAAGUGGUUCUUCAGCCUUCUCUUCAUGCUCUUCCUCAGAAUCAGUCUCAAAAAUAUCUGAAAGAUCUUCAGAAUCUGAGCAUAUAUCUGUAUCUACCAUGGAAUCAUUUUCUUCACCCUGUUCUUCAUUUUCAACCAUUAUCCGUUUGAGCUUAUCAGAUGCCUCAAUUUGCUGAUCUGAACGGUGUUCAGGGUGAAAUUUCUCAAGGCCAACCUCUUGAUUUUUGUUAGGAGCAUCAGUUUCAUUUUCAGCUUGCAACCGAAGCAGCUCAAGAUCUUGCUCCAGACGUGGAAUGUAUCUCUCAACAGCUCUUAAGGAAUCUCUGUAUUUAGAUUUAUCCAAGGCCUGUGUAAAGGGGCAAUAACAAAAAUAAGAGCGCGAAAAAGUGGGGAUCCACAUAAUAGCAUACACAAAAGUUAGCAGACAGUAAGAGAACCUUUUUCCUGGAAAGAGUACUUCUUGGAGACAUUAUCUCAGUUGGUGGUUGAGAGUAAUUCUUUCCCCUGUACAUUAUAAUGGUGUCAUCAUCCUGGAUAUCAAGAACAAUUCCACCACUUAAUCUUGCAAGCUCUACAGCAAUUUCCUUAACCUCCUCAGGAGAAAACGUUUUCACCACCACUUUCAGAGUUUGGUGCUUCUUCCAAUGCAAAUGCAUAUUAAGGAUCACACCCUGGUAUAUCCCACGUCUUCCAACUGGUACAUAAUUCUUGCACUUCUCCCCCAUUUUCAGGAAGUAGAAGUGUUCUUCUGGUGUCAAUAUUUCUGGGUCAUGAGUAGCUUCCGAUAUCUCCUUAGGCUCAACCUUCCUAAGAGCUUCAACAAGCCUCUCCUCUUUCUUCCGUGCCUAGAAAGAUGAAAUUUUGCAAUCCCUAAAUACUUCAAUUGUAUUUGACAGUCAACAUAAAGUAGGUGGCGCAACCCAUCCAUAAUUGUGUUGGAUUCCAAAUAGCCAUUAAGUAAUAAUCCAAAGAGCAAUCUAUUCUUUAGCAUCUAUUGGCAAGUAAAUAAGUGAAGAAACUAAUGUCACAACUAUCAAUAAAAACAGUUCUAGAAUUGCAAAUGACACCACAAUCAGCACAACUGAAAUAUCAGUUUGAUAUGACUAGAUUGAUACCAACAGUCCAUUAAAUUAUUCAACCUCAACAAAGUCAUAUAUUAGGAACACAUAAUUUCUAGGUUCAGAAAUGGCAAAGGGUAAUACUUUCAGGAAACAAAAGAUUAGAACAGGCAUAUCUAGAUAAAUAGUCCUUUCCCAUAAACUUAAAUUAGAAUAAAGCAUAUAAACAAAAAGACCCACAAUCUCUAGGAAGAAAUGCAGAUUUAACAGAAAACAGGAAAAGGUAUAACCAAAGGAUCUAUAUUAAAGAUACCAAAUAGUUGGGAUCAAGACUUAUUUGUUCUUACACUUGCAUUAGAUCCAUAUUUGUUAAGACAUUCUUCUUAGGCACACUAUAGACUUGAAUGUCACUGCAGGGGAUAUUAAUAUUAUGAGUAUUGGAAUGAAAUGAUGCCAGAUACAGUGAAAUGGAUAUAGAAGAUUCAAAUAGCCGACCUUAAUUAGGUAGAGAUUGAGAUCUAGCUUACUGAUUCAUUCGAAGGAAAUACACAAGCUAAGACAAUUUCAAGAGUUGUCAAAUGCAAAAGAGUAUGGUAUUUCAAACAGAUUGAAGCUACCAAAACCCGUGCAGCAUAAGUAGUUCAAAGUUCAAAUAUCAUCUUUUUAUCUUUACAACCUCGGAGACAGGCCAGUUUGAGAAUACCUCAGCUGAUUCCACAAGUACCUGUGACCUCUCACCAGCAUAGGUACCGGUUUACUUCAAACAUCAUCUUACAAAACUUCCACUAGACUAAAUAACAUGCUACAAGAAAAGCAUUACCUUCCUCAAUUUAAAAAGGAUUCUUUCUUCAGCUGUCAUCCUUUGGAACUCUUUCUUCUUCUUCCACCUGAAGAACUUCAACCACUUCACAACCUGUCUUUUACCCUUCAGUUUCUUCCUCUUGAUUUUAUCUUCUUUAAACUCGCCGGAACUCUCAGCAACAACAUCAUUACCACCGCCAUUCGACGUUUCCCCUUCCCCAGCUUUGCCAGCCGUACAGUAAUACCGGCCCGAAUCUAUCAAUCCAAAAUCCCAUUUUUGUACGAUUAAGCGUGGCCCAACUAUGACUUCUCUUUCAAAAACCUUGCAUACUGCAUUAAAUACACUAAUAUAUCAUCAUGAGAUUAGCACAAUCACUUCAAAUUAAACAGUUAUCAGUGUAAGUGUAAAUGCAUGAUUUUUGCAGAAACAAAUUCAGAAUUUGAAGAAAUAGUACCUGGUUUGCUGGGGAACGGAAUGGGGUAAAACGGGUUGGAAGAUGAAACGGCAGCAUAAGAGAUGGUGUAGCUGCCGUGAUUUGCAGAGCGUCGCCGGAAAGAAGAAACCUCGCCGGAGCAUUUUUCACACUUUCUGGUGACCGACGGGGAACUAGUCUCCGGGAAUAGCUAAAUGGGUCUAAAUUGGAUACUUAGCAAAUGGACUUGGGCUAGUAUGGUCUAUUUUGAAGGCCCAAACCAUCACUCGUGAAUCUUUUAACAAAUAGCCACUUUUAGCUCGGAGCUUUAAAUUCCACGCGUGAAAUUCUAAGACAUUGUUAGGGUAUUUCACCUGUAAAACUUGAAACUACAUGGUCGGAAACUGGUAAAUACUACUUCUAAUAUUCUUUUACACAUAAUUUGCUUAUACUAAUGUUAGGUGUGCUAAAUUUAGCGCAUAAAAAUAUAACAUGUUCAUCUUGUUUAGAUGAUAUUUAUUAGCGAGUUAUUUUGAAUAUAGCUUAUCUAAAAGUUUAAGCUAAUUUGAAUGGCAUAUCUAUUCAUUAAAAAAAAACACAAAGUAAAUAAUCCAAGAUCAAAGAAAUAUAACUUGUAUUGCUUCUUUCAAAGGGUCACAUACAAAAAAAGGAUAUAUAUACACAAGUAUAUACCCUUUUCUUUUUCUUUCUUCCAAUAAAUUUCAUGUUAAUGAAAAUCCACCACCUUUCAUCAUUUGUCUAAAUUCUUUAAAAUCAACCAUCCCAUCACCAUCCACGUCGACUUUCAUGAUCAUCCUCUUACAAUCUUCCAAAGUUUUACCUUGUUUCAAUCCUAAUGAUCCCAAAACGGACCUUAAUUCUUCCACCGUUAUAUAUCCAUCACCAUUUUGAUCAAACACGUUGAACGCUUCUCUCAUAUCCUCCUCUUCGUCCUUCUCGUCCAUGAUUGACUUGUACAAUGUCCCGAAUUCAUCUAUAUCGAUAUAUCCAUCUCCGUUUACGUCUAUUUUUUCAAUCAUAUGAACAAGUUCUUGUUCCUCAAUGUGUAUUCCCAAGCUUUGUAACGAAUCGUUGAGCUCCUUUUUCGUUAUAGUUCCAUCUCCGUUACGAUCAAACAUUUGGAAAAUUCUAUUUAGCUCUACGGGGUCCAUUUCUUAGAUGAAAUUACAAAGAGAAUGAACCCUUUGAAGGUUUUAGUAUAAAAGGAUUUGGGUUUGGGAUUGAUGAUGUUAAAAGAAGCAUGAAAAUGCAUGUGAGAGAAAAUAACAAGGGAAAUAAUAUUUCUGAGAAGAUAGAAAUAAAUGGCUAAGGGGUUUAAAUGGUGGAGGAAAAAUUAAGGAGGGUGGUUUGAGGACACCCACUAAUUUCGUGGAAUCAAUGAUAUUCUUUUUAAGAUAUAAAAAUAGACACAAGAUUCAAGAAUAUCUAAUUCCACAUUUCUUGGUGACUUUAUUAAUUAUUCCGUAUCAAAUAUUUUAGUUAACAUAAAUUAGAUUUGAUUGAAACUAUUUGACGUUUUAAAAGAUACAUUUUGUUCAAAUCUAACUUUAUUGCUCCAAUUUAGUGGUGUAUUGAAUUUUUUGGAGAUAGAUAAAUGAUAGUCUAAGCAAUCGAGAAAUAGAUAAUAAUAGCACCUUAUAUUAUUUAUUGUACAUAGAUGUUGUUUUGUUGCCGUUUAUCUGUUAUUUUUGUUUUGAUUGUUAUUUCUUCUACUUCAGUUGCUUCUUCUUUUUUUAGAUAACUUUGAAUUGUUUUUCUUGAACCGAAGGUUUAUCAAAACAACCUAUCUAUCUCUUAGAUUGGAAUAAGAUUUGGGUACGUUUUACCAUCACUAUACCUCACUCUGUGAGACUAGUGUUUAUGUUGUUUUUUUAGUGAUAUGUUAUUCUCGUUUUAAUUUUUAAUUGCUUAGUUUGAUAUAAAUAUCGGGUAUGAGUAAGUAGUUACUCCGUUUGAGUAGGUGAGUUUGGACGUCAUCUCUUGAAAUAUGUCAUUGUGGAACUCAUGUCUGUAGACGUGAGGUAAAGGUUUAGGACCACGUAAAAUAUAGUGGUGUGUAUACUAUACAAGUACUAGUAUGCAUCCAGCUAAAUAUAGGUUGGAGAAAUUGAUAGAUUCAACAAUAUAAAGUCGUAAUAAGUGACCUUUCAUUCAUUGUAGGGACUCUUAAAUCUGAUUUUGAGUUACUCCGUGGUUCAUGGCGGAUGUGCUGCAAAGAUUAAGGGGACCAGAGAAUGCUGUCGAGGUGGCAAAAUUGGCCCAUGAAACAUGACCGGCCAAACUCAAACAAAAAACAAUGUUAGUUGUGUUGGUAGAUAUAGCAAAUUCCCAUUGAAUUAGUCGAGAUGUGUACAUGCUUGUAUGAGGGUGUGUUGCUCAUGCCUAACUGCUAAAGACAGCAAGAGGCCAUAAACCAAUUGUCUAUCCUGUUCAACAUGGGUUAAAGGAACAAAAACCAGAAGCAUCAAACUUGUUAAUCCAGAAAUUUUGGAAAUCUAAUUUCAUUAACUAACAGCUACUACAUUCUGCAUUCACCAUCCACUGCAUUUCACUUGGCGUGGAAGCCAUAAAUCUGAUAGAUAGGUUAGUUCCAAUAAUUAGGUCAUUGUUGACUUGUCUGCAAUGCAUACCGACUAAAAGAUCUAUCCAACUUUAUCAUAUUGGCUUCCCAAGUUCUAUCUUUUAAGAUCGUCUUUACAUACUGAAUGGGAGAGGAGAGGAGAGAGUGCACAACUGACCAUCAAUAAACAACUGGAAUUGACAACUGGUCUGUUGCACAAGGUAAUUCUUAUCGGAGAUAGGAAUGUGAUCAAACUGUGUGUCCUCCAAGAUCUCGUAACAGAAGUAUCUAAUUGUCAAGUAUAUAGGAAUUGAAAUCCCAUUGCUUGCGAAAACAAAGAUAUGAUUGGUUUUGGAUAGUGCUUGCUUACUCCAAGUAUUCAGAAACACGGAAAAGAAUAUAGCAGUACUGAUAUAUAUAAGCACAAGAACAAGAUGUCAACAAAAUGGGUGACUCAAUGAAAAAUAUACAAGCAUAAUGCAAGUUGUUAUGUUUAAAUGGGUCAUGAGAUGUGCCAGGAUCAUUGAGUUCACAAACUCCAGCCAAGAAGCUCACCUUUUUAUUUCCCAAUUCCACCUUUUUUAUCACCUAAUCCUUUAUACGCAUGUACUAUAAUUACUACUAAAGAGCUUUAUGUGAAAGAACACUAAAACGUGGAACUCUGAAGACUGUGGCUACUGAAAUCAAAUUAGCUAGUUCAAGCUUCUUGACUUUACCCGCUGAACUAUAAAGUUUACAUUCUUCCAAGUAAAUCUAAGUGCCUUUAUAUUCGUGAUCUGAAGAUAUGAAAAUCGAAGUUGUACCAUGAAAAUAUGGCUCAGUGAAAAGGAGGCUGGUCUGAUAGAAGUAAUAAAGUAACAUUUUGAAGGUAGAUAGACACAAGUACGAGUAAAGAAGGGGAUGGGUAGAAAUGUCUACAUUCAUUACAGAGAGAACUAUGUAGUGACAUAUGGCUAAAAGAACACAUGCAAUGGCAAUAGACAAUGAGUACAAGGAUAGAUAUGCUUAACGCAAUGAUAAAUAUAUUUUAAGGUUGAUGCGCUCAAGUAGUAAGGUCUGCGUACACCAGACUCCAAUUGUGGGAUUACACGGGGUAUGUGUUGUUGCUCUCAAGUAGUAUUUCAAGAAAGUAGGCAGACAGGCCAAAAUAUAUUAGUACUCUGAUUCAGGUUCAGAAAAAAGGGUGUUUAUAUUUUUUGCCCUUCACUUCAUAAAAUUUAUUAGUUUACCAAAACAAAAAACAAAAGAAAGUUCAGAAAGGAAAUUUGAUGCAUGACAUUUUUGUGACAGUACGACAAUAGAUGAAUGUCUAACAGCAGAAACAGAUACAGGUCUAAGCCUUAUUGCAGAAGUGAUGGGACUACUGGAGAAUAAUAGAAGAAAGCAUACAUCUAGAGCUAACACAUGACAAUGCUCAUAACCUCAAACAAACAGAAAGCUGGAAGAAUGUUAGGCAAGGUUAACAACUGAUUGGCUGCCUACUAUCCAGUUCUCAGAAUGAAUUUAGUAUGAGCAGUGAUACUCUGUUACUUUUCUUAAGCAUGUCGCAUAAAAUCUCUUUAGCUGGGAUAGUUCCUUGUGCCUAAGGUCCCGAUUAGAAUCCUAACCCUCCCAAUUACGAAAGGGUUUUUUAUUGAUCUCAGACAUAGCACCACAUGUUCUCCUGCUAUGGGGUGUGACAAGAAUCCUUGCAAACUGAAACAGGAGAAUUUCCUCACAAUAGAAUGAAUUUGUGUUGCUUUAGAAGGUCAGGGACAUAAUUUACUCAAUAGUAGAUUGUAAGUGCCUAUAACUAAACGUAAUGAAUUCUUGUUGCUUUAGAGGGUCAGGUACAUAAUCUACUCAGUAAAUACUAGCUUAUACACUACAACUAAAUAGAGGCACAUCCAGUAGCACCUGAUGUUUAGUUGCAGCUAACCGCGACAAUGCUCAAGAUUCUUGUUUCUUUAGAAGGUCAGGGACGUAGUAUACUCAGUAAAUAGCACUCUAGCUAAUACAUUACAAUUAGUUUUCUUUAUAGGCACAUCCAGUGGUAUGCAAUCUUUAGUUGCAGGUGGUCUGGCGACCAAUGGUCAAGAAAGGCUAUGAUGUUUUCCACCUCUCACCAAAUUUAGUCGUAGCCUUAUUUCUCAAGUCAGUAACACAUUUUUACAAAGGCAUAAACAUGAAUUUCAGACUAUGUGAUUGCAGAGGAAUUACAAGCUCACAACAACAAUUAUGCCUUAAUCACUAAUUAGUUGGGACUUGGGACCAGCAAUAUGAAUCUUUUAUAUCUACUCAACUCUAUCAAACCAAUUCCAUUCUAGUACCGGUAAAUUAAAGUGUCGUCAUACCACCAAAGACAGAUUGAUAUUAAAAUAACUCAUACAGGAAUUGGGAAAGUAUUCAUUUAAAACGAACAAAGUUGUCAACUUUCAGACAAUUUUGACAGAAAUUGCCUAUCAAGUACCAUAAGUUCCACAUUUUAUUAACUCAAAGCACUAAAAUUCCAGUUCACAGACAUAGAAAAAUAUUCAUUUCACCUUUUAUGGGAUAUCCCAUGGCUUAGGCUCAGGAAUUGCCACAACCAUUCCUUGAAGCUCCGGUGAGAGGACCACCUGACAACCCAACCUAGAAUGCUUGUUCAAAACCCUAGCCCUAGAGUUCCUCUUCAGCACAUACUGCUCAUCGUAAGAAGCUUUUGGAAGCUUCUCGAGCCAUUCUUGAGCAAUGUGCACCUCACACUCGGAGGAGCACGCAUCAAUGUCUUCAAGGCGAUGUGAAUCCGGGUCGAUUAACCCGUGGUUGGUUAGAGCUUUGAGCAGAGUUUGGCCCGAGAGUCCAAUAAUCUCCCGUUUACAGCCCUCAGGGUCAACGGCGAAGAGCUUGACGAUCCGAUCGGCGACUUUGGCGGAGCCGGUGCGGGAUGAACAUGAGGAUGCGGAGGAUCGAGUAAUUGAAAAAAUCGAAGGGUUUCGUGCGAUUCGUGAGGCGAAUCUCUGCAUAUUAGCAACGGCCAUCUUCGAAUGUUAACCAAUUUUGGGGGAAAUGAAUGCCCUAAACUCUCCACUAGUGUGGAAGGAGAAAACUAUAUUUUUAAAAAUAAUUGUCCGGUUUGGAUUCGUUUGUGUACACCUCGACUAAUAUCAUCCUAAAUAAUUAUAACUCACUGUCUAUCUAGGCUACAACAUAUGGAAAUAAAUCAUUUUUUUGUCUAGCCAUUUCAAUUUAUAUGACAAGUUUGAUUAAUUCAUAUAGCAGAAUUUGAUUAGAUACGAAUUCAAAGAAUCGAAGACGUUUGAAGUUUGUGAUUCAAAAAUCAUUUAUAAUUAUUUAUAUAGUUGUAAUUUGUAAAUAAUUUAAUUUCUCUAGUUCACUCAUCAAGAGUAUUUUCUAAGCAAUCAUGAACGUGGAGUAAAAAAAGUUGAAAUUGUUUAUUUAUCAAACCAAGGGAACAAACUCUUUUAUAGAAAUGAAAAAAAGGGUAAAAAAAUGUCUAAGUUUGAUCUAAAAAUAGUUUCGUCGUCAACAAUUUGGUUCAGAAAAUGCUUGUAGGCACCCCACCCCUCGACUCGAAAAUCACAAUGUAGAUAGAUUACUUUUAUAUAUUACUAGUACUAGUAUAUAAGAUGAAUACUGGAGAGAAAUUGAUGUGAGGAGAAAUUAUCAUUUCUAUUGCUGACAAGAAUAUAUAUCAUGAAAUAUCCCACUCCUUUCUUUUCUCUUUUAUAAAAUUUUCAUGCAGGAAACAAGCAAAAUCUAUCUUUUAUCUCUAAAAUCAUUCUUCAUUCUUCAUAUAAUCAAAUUUUCUUGCCCUGUAGCCAACUGUCGUAGAAAUACAACGACUCUUGUGGUUUGUACUCAGGCACGGUGUGUCCAGAUCCCUGAGGAUUUCGGAAAUCAAUCAAUUAAAUCAAAGAAAAAAUAGAAAACAAAAAAAAAACAUUUCUUGAUAAAAACAUACCUUAAUAGUCAGAAAUGUGAGGUUGUUGGCAUAACCUUGUGUGUAACUGCAGAAAAGAUUUAAGAUGAAUUUUACAGAAUUGCAACACAUUAGACAUGAAAAAGAUUUAGAAUUAGGUGAAAACGCGAACAUACCCUGCAACUUGUUGGGAACUGCAAAAAAGAUUUAAGCAUUUAGUAUGAAUUUUACAGAAUUGGAUCACAUUAGAGAAGUUAAACAUGAACAUGAUUUAGUAGGUGAAAAACACAAAUAUACCCUUGAAUUUUUUCUUUCGUAUACCAUGGCCUCCAUUCAUCCACGAUUGCAUAUCCAAGUGAACUUGUCCAUUUUUCUGAACCAGUGUAUGGUACACACAUAUCGUGAUCCCCACUGCAACAAACAAAUGUGUCUUAGUCGAUAGAAUAUACAGGAAAUACAUAUAGACGAUCAGUUUUCUUCUUUAUAUGUGUUUUACAUAAUAAUACCACGAGUAAUACAGAAGAAUGCAUGUUAAGAGACUCGGUAAUCUAUUGAACCUGUAUAUGAGUGCCCGAUAACCCUGAGUUGUAAGGUUUUUGUGAUACGGAAUCAUGCUUCCAGCAUCAUGAGUGAAGUUUAAGUGUUUGCAUAGCUCCCAAGGACCUGUCACAGUUGCCUGUUGUACCACAAGAUUGAACCAUAAAUCGAUCACCAAUUGGUAAAAGUAAAUCAUCAUGUUUAAAGUUAGUACAAGAUGAGUAAAUUGUAUCUUACUGGUUCAGCAUGAAUUGCUUUACGAACAUCUUCAUUGUUUAGCCACGCAGUAGCAACAGUAUCAUCCUGCAUAUUUCAUUUCAGAUUAUGUGUCUCUUGAAGAGAAUAAACAAAAGGAAAGAAAAAACCAAGAGUGACUUACAGUGCAAAAGACAUUAUUAUGAUCGAGAAGCUCUGGCCAAGAUGGGACAAGUCCCUCUCUUACUGGAGCAUUAAAAGGCCAAGCACGGCCAAACAUUCUGGUUCUAACAGGAAGAGGCCUUUCUGUCUCACCUAGUUUACGAAAGCUCAUUGGCAAUUCUGAGUUUUUGGUGCUAUAAGGGGUGUGGUAACACGGUUCUAGUAUGUCAUAAAUGUUUAGUCCCAUGACUUUCUGCAAUAGGCGGAAAAGAUGAAUUUGGACCAAUACAGAACAAUGAAUUGUUGUCACGACAAAAUAAAUCAAGCAUCACAGAGUAACACCUUACCUGACUAAUUUUUAAUAGUAAUAAUGUACAGUUCUGACUGCUUGAGAUGUAGAAGUCUCCUUUGCAUGCAGCAGUUGCAUCCUGAGCAUGAAAAAGAAUAAUCAGAGACCAGUUGCUAAUAUAUUGGAGUGGUAAAUGUAUAAACAUACAUUAACAUUUGCUUUGUAACAUAUUUUUUGACAGACUACAAUUCUAAAUAAGUUCAAGAGUCAAAUGAUUCAAGCACAAGAAGAAGCAAAUACCUCGAAUAAUUUAUCUGAAAUGAGGCCCAUACCAUGUUGAAAUGGAACAAUAGCAUUACCGUCUAUCUUCUCAUCUGUCACGCCAUUUCCCACCAUAUAACCCUGUGCAAUAGAACAUAAAGAGUUUACAACCCAGACAACUAGUUAAAAUCUUGAAAUGUAUAUACCUUAAACAUGGACAGAGUCAGUCCUGACCUUAAAGUUGAUGACGGGCGUUACUUUAGCAUCGAUACCUGAAAAAACAUAAGCAGCAGAAGGUUAGUUUGUGUAUCCCCUGCCUAGCAGUAGCACCAACCAAUACAUGAUUACCUUUUACUACUUCAGAAGCCAGAGUUGGCACGUAUAUUCCAGCAUAAGACUCUCCAGAUAUGUAGAAUGGGUUCGUGAGGAACUCCGGGUAGAUCUCAAACCACUAGCAAGAGCAUCAGUUAGUAGAAACCAUAAACGAGCUUAGACAGAUCUAGCGUAAAACUAGUAAAUUUAUGUAAUGUUACCUUGAGGAGAAACGCAUGGGUUUCGGUUGCAGUUUUUAAGUCUCCUGUAUUAUAGUCAGCUUUAUUUUUCGAGUAAGAUAAUCCAACACCAACAGGAGAGUCCAGAUAUAUUAUAUUGGAAACCUGGAAGAAUCAAAUAAUAAUGAGUGGCUAAUGAAAUGUAAGCAUAUGAUAAAAGUAGAAUUAACACAAAUAAUAACCUUUGACCAACUGUAUGGAUUGUUAUGCAGAAUAGGCAAGCUACCAUUUGCCUUCCCCAACUCAAAAUUAAAAGGUCCUGCAAUGUAUAGAACACAAGACUCAACUGUUACACUAUGCAUUACAAAAUAUAGGCAUUUGUUAAAAAAUCAAGUCUUUUGUCUAAUCGAGUAUAUCGAUUAGAGUAUUAUCAUCUACGAUCAAAAUAUUUUAACCCGCUCAAAUUCAACUCAACCAGUAAAAUUAAGAAUUAAAGUUGUUACCAUGCUCAUAGACAAAUCCAUCAAAGCUUGAACAGCCAGGUCCACCAUUAAGCCAAAGAACAACUGGAUCCUUUGAUGGAUUUCUUUCAGAUUCAAUAAAGUAGUAAUACAUAUUCUUGCCAUGGCUUUCAUCUAAAUUAACAUACCUGAAAACCCAUUUCAAAUAAUAUUCAAAAAAAAGGUACAAAAAUCAAAAUAAAGUUUAUUACAUCUUUUUAUCAAAAAACACAAAAAGAAUCCAUACCCAGCAUAAUGUUUUGACAGCAAUUUGCCAGUGAAGCCAGGGAUUUGAGUUACCAGUGCACCCUGAGGUGCCCCUUCUGUUACCAAAAAACAAAAUGCCAACAAUGUUAACACUAUAGUAUACUCUAAAAUAAUGUUUUUUCUAGCCAUGUUUGGUGUAUCAAAAUUCAGAAUUAUUUGAUGUUUCCCCUAAAAGAACACAAAUGAUGGGGCUUUUAUAGUGUGAGAAAAUGAAGUGUGACAUCAUUAUAAUAACUAUUCCAUUAAUAUUUGGAUUAAUACAAUCUAACUUAGUCUUAAUAUAGUAAAAAGUUAAUUAUGAAUUUAUGAUUUAUAUUUUUGAAUAGUUUGACUGAGAAAAUAACAAAAAAAUAAAGUCUUAUACAUUUAAGGAAUAUUCAUCAAUUUAUUUAUGUAUUUGGAUUUUUGGGAUGUUGGACGGACAAAAUGACAAAGUAGAAGUCUCUUAUAUUUAUGAAUGAAAUACAAUAAUACUAUCUAUAUCAUAUUAACUAAUUCUAUAUUUAUUUUCAAAUUAUUACAGAUAUUUUCAUUAAUUAAGAAUUUUGUAUCAUAUUUUAAGUUGGAUACAUUGAGAUGCAACAUUCUCUGAAAAGUAGCCCAAAUUAGGAUAAUUGAAUAUCUGAAUAAGUUUUGUAUCCGACUCCUCUCCAUUUUCCUCAAGUUUCUAUUUGGAUUAGUGAUGCAUAACAUAAGUUAAUUUAAGUGGUUAAGAUUUAACUUCCCAAAAUAAAUUUCUAACCAUGAUUUAAAUAAUAAAUAUAUUGUAUAAUUUGUUUUAAAAAUGAUUAUAAUCCCAAAUCUUUGCAAUAUAUUAAUUAUUAUCUUGUUAAUAAUUAUAGAAAAACAAGUUUUCUUCUUAAAAUUUUUAUGCAGGAUCUUUCUUUUAUUUUCUUGUUAAAUUAAUCUUUUUAUUACAUAACAUACCAAUUAAUUAAGAUACACCACAUAUCUGUUAGAACUCAAAUACAAAUAUAUGGUGUAUAAAAGCAAAAAGCUUAUUUGCUGUUUAGAUUAUAAAUUUAUUCCAAGUCUAAUAAAGGGGUGACUUACAUACAAGUACAUCAAUGAAUUUCUAAUGUUUUUUUUUAUAUAAUUAUGUAAUAAUAUAAAUGUAUAUUAAAUAUUUACUAUUGAUGAUGUUUAAUCAGCUAUUGGUAAAAAUUGUGAAAUCAUUUAGCUUUUUGAUUUUCGUUUACACCUACUUAAUCAACACAACAACAAUAAUAUCAUACCCAAUGUAAUUCCUUAAAGACUUAGUAAUCUAUUAUGAACCUGUAUAUGAUUGUUUGAUAUCCCGAGCUGUGAGAUUUUUGUGAUACGGAAUCACACUUCUAAAAUCAUACAAAAAUGCAUCCCAACCGCCAAUAAUUUGGUAAAAAAAAGUUAAUUGGCACCCCUGGCUCGAAAAUUACAAUGUAUAUAGUGUGGGAGAUGAAUAUUGGAGAGAAAUUGAUAUGAACAUGCUUUAACAGAGAAAUUAUCAUUUUUAUUGCUGAUAGGAAUAUAUAUCUUCAAAUACAUUGUAAAAUUCCAAUAUCCCCUCUCUUUUAUAAAAUUUUCCUGUAGAAAAUAAGAAAAAUCUAUCUUUUAUAAAUAAUUGAAGUUAAUGUCUACUAAUUAAGUCUUCAUUCUUCAUAUUAUCAUAUCUUCUUGCCCUCUAGCCAACGUUCAUAGAACUCCAACGCCUCUAGUGGUUUGUACUCAGGCACGGUGUGUCCAGCUCCCUGAAGAUAUCCGAAAUCAAUCAAUUAAACAAAAGGGAAAAAAAAAAUAGAAAACGAAAAAAUAUUUCUUGAUAUACACAUACCUUAAUAGUCAGAAAAGUGAGGUUGUUGGCAUAACCUUGUGUGUAACUGCAGAAAAGAUUUAAGAUGAAUUUUACAGAAUUGCAACACAUUAGAGAUGAACAAGAUUUAGAAGGUGAAAACGCGAACAUACCCUGCAACUUGUACGUAUCUGCAAAAAAGAUUUAAGCAUUUAGAAUGAAUUUUACAGAAUUGAAUCACAUUAGAGAAGUUAAACAUGAACAUGAUUUAGUAAGUGAAAAACACGAACAUACCCUUGAAUUUCUUCUUUUGUAUACCAAGGCCUCCAUUCAUCCACGAUUGCAUAUCCAAGUGAACUUGUCCAUUUUUCUGAACCAGUGUAUGGUACACACAUAUCGUGAUCCCCACUGCAACACACAAAUAUGUGUCUUAGUCAAUGUCUAUCCGUGUUUUACAUAAUAAUACCACGAGUAAUACAGAAGAAUGCAUGUUAAGAGACUCAGUAAUCUAUUGGACCUGUAUAUGAGUGCCCUAUAUCCCCAAGCUGUGAGGUUUUUGUGAUAUGGAAUCAUGCUUCCAGUAUCAUGAGUGAAGAUUAGUUUGUUUGAGCAAAGCCGCCAGCGACCUAUCACAGUUAUCUGUUGUAUAACCAUAAAUCGAUCACCAAUUAUAUUGUCUUUUUUGAGUGAAGGUAAAUCAUCAUGUUUAAAGUUAGUACAACAUGAGUAAAUUGUAUCUUACUGGUUCAGCAUGAAUUGCUUUACGAACAUCUUCAUUAUUUAGCCACACUGUAGCAAUACGAUCACUCUGCAUAUUUCAUUUCAGAUUAGAUGUCUCUUAAAGAGAAUAAACAAAAGGAAAGAAUAAAUCAAGAGCGACUUACAAUGCAAGGGACGUAGUUUGUAUGUUUGAGAAUCUCCGGCCAAGAUGGGACAAGUCCCUCUCUUACUGGAGCAUUAUAAGGCCAAGCACGGCCAAACAUUCUUUUUCUGACAGGAAAAGGCCUUUUUGUCUCACCUAGUUUUCGAAAACUCAUUGGUAAUCUUGAGUUAUCAGUGGUUACAUCAGGUACAGUGUUGUGGUAACACGGUUCUAGAAUGUCAUACGUGUUUAGAUCGUCAACAUUCUGCAAUAGGCAGAAAAGGUGAAUGUGGAUCGAUAAACCAGAACAAUGGAUUGUUUGAAUCAAACAUGACAAAAUAACACCUUACCCGAUUAAUUUUACCUUGCAUGUCUUUACAAUGCUGACUCGUUUCAUUGUAGAAGUUUCCUUGGCAUGCAGCAUUUGCUUCCUGAGCAUGAAAAAGAAUAAUCAGAGACCAGUUCCUAAUAUAUUGAAGUAGUAAAUGUAUAAACAUACAUUAACAUUUGCUUUGUAACAUAUUUUUUGACAGACUAGAAUUCUAAAAUUAGUUCAGAAGUCGAAUGAUUCAAGCACUAGAAAAUUAAACAAGAAGAAGCAAAUACCUCGAAUAUUUUAUCUGAAAUAAGGCCCAUACCAUGUUGAAAUGGAACAAGAGCAUUAGCGUCUAUUAUAUCAUCUGUCACGCCAUUUCCCACCAUGUAACCCUGUGCAAUAGAACAUAAAGAGUUUACAGCCCAGACAACUAGUUAAAAUCUUGAAGUGUAUAUACCUUAAACAUGAACGGUUCAAUGUAAUCAGUGACCUAAAGUCAGCCAUUAAGUAAAUGUCUGAAGUAUAUUGAAUAAAAUUAGCCCUGACCUUAAAGUUGAUGGCGGGCUUUACUCCAGCAUCAAUACCUAAAAAACAUAAGCAGAAGAAGGUUAGUUUCUUAAUCCCCUGAACACCACCAAUCAAUACAUGUUCAUUUAAGAUCCAGAUUACCUUUUGCUAUAUCAGAAGCCAGAGUUGGUACGUAUAUUCCAGCAUAAGACUCUCCAGAUAUGUAAAAUUGGUUCGUGAGGAACUCCGGGUAAAUCUCAAACCACUAGCAAGAGCAUCAGUUAGUAGAAACCAUAAACGAGCUAGGACAUAGCUAGUAUAAAACUACAUUACAAAAGAAAGUGUGAAUUACAUGAGGAUUUUCCUAGGGAUUAGUAUGAAAAUCCGCAGGAAACUUAUUUUCCUACAAAUUUUAAUACUAAUCCCCAAGAAAAUCCCCAUGUAAUUCGCACUUUUCUUGUAGUGAUAGCUAGUAAUUAAAUUUAUGUAAUGUUACCUUGAGGAGAAACGAAUGGGUAUCGGAUGCAGUCUUUAAGUCCCCUGUGUUAUAGUCAGCUUUAUCGUUCGAGUAAGAUAAUCCAACACCAACAGGAGCAUCCAGAUAUAUUAUAUUGGAAACCUAGAAGAAUCAAAUCAUAAUGAGUGAGUACUAAUAAAAUGUAAGCAUAUGAUAAAAGUAGAAUUAACACAAAUAAUAACCUUAGACCAACUGUAUGGAUUGUUAUGCAGAAUGGGCAGGCUAUCAUUUGUCUUUCCCGCCUCAAAAUUAAAAGGUCCUGCAAUGUAUACAACACAAGAAUCAACUGUUACUUGAAUUGUUAACAUUAUUCUUUAUAAAA
Molecule: long non-coding RNA, 68251 nt
Filed under: Solanum tuberosum (potato)
Lineage: Eukaryota; Viridiplantae; Streptophyta; Magnoliopsida; Solanales; Solanaceae
Description: long non-coding RNA (STUB_LNC006885)
Source: RNAcentral